GAACGAGAGCUACUUCACCUAAUCAAUCAAAAGCUCCUUCAACACCAUAUCAAGGUUUGUGAUGGACCUUUCUGGGCAGAUCAAGCAGGAGUCCUGGUUGCCUUCCCAGGCGUGGACCAUGUUCUGGUCUAAGCCCUCGCAACAAUGCGAGGUGUAUAGACUUUGUGGGCCUUUCAGUGUUUGCAGCGAGCAGAGCGAAGUUUUGUGUAGCUGCUUGCCGCGAUUUAGCAUAAGCUCUCCAAUGGAUUGGAAUCGGAGUGAUUGGUCCGGUGGUUGCAAGAGGAAUUCAAACUUAAAUUGUGCAGCGGAUGUGGAGAAAGACCGUUUCUGGCCUAUGUCUAACAUGAAAUUGCAUGAUGAUCCUCAAUCUUUAGUUGCAGGGAGCGAUCAGGAAUGCCGAACUGCUUGUUUGAGCAAUUGCUCUUGCACGGCUUAUGCUUUCAAGGAUAAUAACUGCUCAAUCUGGAUCGGGGAUCUCUUCAAUGUGGAAUGGCUCAAACAAGGCACUACCCCUGGAAGGAGUUUCUAUGUCCGGCUUGCUGCCUCCGAAAUUAAGGAUCCCAGCAAGAAGAGUAAUGUAAUUGCAACAGUGACAGGGUCUGUUGGUGCCGCGGUAGUGAUAUUAGCCAUUGUCUUGUUUGCCGUUUGGAGAUGGAGGAGAGGGGCAACCGUAACAACAAAAAUAGUGGAGGGUUCACUGAUAGCCUUUGCAUACCGGGACUUGCAAGUAGCAACAAAGAAUUUCUCAGAGAAGUUGGGUGGGGGUGGGUUCGGUUCAGUUUUCAAAGGAACAUUACCUGAUUCAAGUCACAUAGCGGUUAAGAAGCUUGAAAGCAUAAGCCAAGGUGAGAAGCAAUUCCGAAUGGAAGUAAGCACAAUCGGCACCAUCCAGCAUGUGAAUCUUGUCAGGCUUCGUGGAUUCUGCUCUGAAGGUGACAAGAGGCUGUUGGUCUACGAUUUCAUGCCAAAUGGUUCCUUAGACUAUCAUCUCUCUCAUAGAAAGGACUCGAAGACCUUGGAUUGGAAAAUGAGGUACCAAAUUGCUUUGGGAACGGCUCGAGGUCUGGCUUAUCUCCAUGAGAAGUGUAGAGACUGCAUCAUACAUUGCGACAUCAAGCCAGAGAACAUCCUUCUAGAUGCUGAAUUCUGUCCAAAAGUGGCAGAUUUUGGCCUGGCAAAGCUUGUUGGCCGAGAUUUCAGCAGGGUGUUGACGACCAUGAGAGGCACAAGAGGGUAUCUUGCGCCGGAGUGGAUCUCUGGAGUGGCCAUAACAGCAAAAGCUGAUGUUUAUAGCUAUGGAAUGAUGCUCUUUGAGUUUGUGUCAGGAAGGAGGAACUCAGAGCUUUCGGAAAAUGGGGCCAUUAAGUUCUUCCCAACAUGGGCUGCUAGUAAGAUAGCUGAAGGAGGUGACCUGCUUGAUCUUUUGGACCCAAACUUGGAGACAAACGCUCAUACUGAAGAGUUAACUAGAAUAUGCAGAGUUGCUUGCUGGUGUGUACAAGAUGAGGAAACUCACAGGCCAUCGAUGGGAAAGGUUGUUCAAAUACUCGAGGGGGUGUUGGAUGUGAACCUGCCCAGGAUACCGAGAACCCUUCAACUGCUUCUUGGUAAUCAGGAGCAUAUAGUUUUCUUCACUGAGUCAUCAUCAUCGAACCAGAAUUCCCAGACGAAGAGUAAUACCUCAACUGCUUCCUUGCAGAACCCAAAUAGUUCAUCUUCGACGAAGUCCGAGUCUUGAGGAUGAUAAGAUAAAUGCCUCUGUACAAGAAGUGCUUCAGUUAGAUAGAUUGUUCUCUUCCGCUUUUUCUGUAGUCGAGUAGGAAUCUCAGCAUUUGGGGAUUGGCUUUCUUGGGGCUUUUUCCCCUAGCUAUUUUUGUUAUAUGGAUAAAAGCAAAGCUUGGACAAGUGCCAGGCCAACCCAUUCGUAAAGACCUUUCAUUCUAUAUAAUGAUCUAGUCCGCUUUAUGAGAUCCAAUGUGACAUUAGUAAUUAUUAUCAAAAACUGUCAUCUCCACUUUCUUAUAAUUUAUGCACUGGAAUUGGGAUCUACGUCUUCAAACAUGGGUUUCCUCAAUGUGGGUGCAGAAAACCUUUUAUCUGCUUUUAACAGAUUUUAGUCAACACUCACCAGGUUUUUGAUCCACAACACUCAGAAAAUGGCUUCAUGCCAGUACUUGAGAGCGAUGCUGAACGGGCAUUGGGAAGGAGGCAUUCUUCCCUCGGAGGGCAAAAGAUGUUCCAUUUCCCUCAGAGGCUAAAAGAUGUUCCACCCAUGGCUUCUUAAUCUGAUCCAAAUGAAUCGAGAAGAAACAAAAUCGAAGUCUCAUCAAAAGGGUAUUGGGAAGGAGGCAUUAUACAAAAUCAUUGCAUUGGUUUGCUACUACAGUGACAUAAAUGUUGUGAAAAUUUUGAAUACAUGGGGUCUAAAUAGUUAGAUUCCUACGCCGCUUGGCAUUCGAAUUCUCUUUUUAUGUUUUUAUUUUUUGUGAUUAAAGGGAAAGUCAAUUGAAACUACUAAUCAGAGUUGGUUUGCAAUGCCUAUCCUAACCAACUUAAGGAAUUUGAAGGCCCAUAUUGCAGCAACCUGACAAUCUCCAUGAGCAUAUGGUUUUUGGUGUUAAAUGCAAAGCAAUGUCAUCGUAAAGUUGCAUAUUAACUUGCAAAUCUCACAUCAUAGGAUAUUAGAUCUUCUAGCUCAUAUCAGGUGAAAUAGCCGCAAGUUUGAAUACAGAACACAGGAUAUAUUGUAAAACUCAGCCACAUCUGUCAAUUUCAUGAAGUGAAUUCACCUCUUGAGCCCCUCCAUAGAUCAUAGUUCAGAUAGAAUAUGUUGAAUGAUUUCAUCUAGGUGUGUAUAUCAUAUAUAUUUGACCAAACGAAGCAUUAGAUAUUUACUCAUAUAAAUCAAAAUUUCAAAUCACAACUUGAAUAUUGCAAAUAAACUAAACAAAUUGAGCUCAUCCAUCAAUACCAGGAAUCUAUUAAAAUUAAGAUAUAUAGCUCUUUAUGCUUCGCAACAUUCAAAGCAGCUAUUGCUGUUGUCCACAAACGUGUCAUGUUCCCAUUAAACGUACAUUGCUUUUUCAUGUAAUAAAUGACUGAACCCAUGUGUUCGUGUUGAUUGUGCACGUUCAUGUGAGAACUGUAAUUAUACUUCAGAAAAAUUCUCUGUUUGAAGCACAUCAUACACAAGCAGAAUCAUCCUUUCGGUUUUCCGAACCGUUAGAGCGCCCCCAUGCAUCCAACAGAAUACAAACUCCGAAGUAAUUCCUUUCAAAAUAAGGAUCAGAUGAGCUCCAAUAGACAAAGUAAUAUGCAAAAUAUAAGACAAACAGAGUAUAUUUGCCUCUUCCAGCAGCAAAUAGAUGAAAUAUUAAAUGUUUGGUGACAGUCACUAUUUCUUUUUCUUUGCCAAAUUAGUACGAUACCGACAAUGAAACCCUACAGCGUAUAUACAUGGGCCAGCAUUAUAGGCCACCACCCUCAACACACAACAAGGGUAAACACAGGCCGAAAGCUGCUGCUGCUCGUGCUUGAAUCAGUCAGCACACCACACCAACAGUUAAGCCUCCUAAUAAUUGAUAUGUCACUGGGAACUUGAACGAUUCAUACCAAUAAUCCUUUUAUAGGACACUGCCCAUGCGCUUGAACUGGUUCCUUGUCCAUGAAAGUCAUGUUUCUGGAGAAAACCAUCCUUCUUUGUAAAUUUUCCCGUCACUGCCCUCAUUUGCAAUGCUGGCACAUCUGGCAAGUGGUUGCAGAUUUAACAUUAACAUACGUCGGUUCAGCUGGAACCAGCUCGAGUGCUGGUAGUUCCUUUUCCCCUUCCACCUCCUCUACUUGCCUUGCUGCUCCCUCCAUUCUUAGAGCUCGCUGCCCUGCUACAACCACCAUGGGAAUUCACAUCUGAUAGCCCAUUCUCCAAUGCUCUCACGAGGUUGUCAAAGUAGUUUCUGGUCACACUGUAGCAACAAAAACAGAUGUAAGAAAGUCAAAAUGCAUGUCUAUGUGCACACAUGGGUGCUACUUCUGGAAGUCACAACAGAGGCUAUUAAGAAAGUGUCUAUGUAAACUACAUUGCAGCUGAAGUAGAGAGGGCCACCGAUCUUUUAAUAAAAGGAGAGAUGUGUUUGUGAUGGAAAAACAGCUCCAAGAAUUAUUGUUUCCCACGGAUACUCUAUGAACUUAAAUAAAUAAACAAGUAACGGUCCAACAGCCUUAUAACAACCAACCAAUGCCAUAUGCACUGGAAAAUCAUAUUCUUGGUAAGUCCACUGUCCAGGUUUGACUUUCGAAUCAACAAUCUUUUUAGCAUAAAAAUCCAGUCAAAAGAACUAGUGAGAAUGCUUUUGGCUCGAAUCAGCUUUUAAGUUAACAAUAAACUGCAGAGUCAAUAUUAUUCCAUAAAGUAAACUUUGAAAGCUUGACAAUAAAGAGCAGGAUUAGAAAUAGGAAUGCUAUGCUCAGGAUGAGUCAUGAGCUUCACCAGAACUUUUUUACAUAAUAUAAGAAGCCAAAAAGAAGAUUCCGCAGGAAUAUUACAUACACUAAUUUAUCAGGAAGAAGCUGCUCAUUGGUACAUAUCAUGCUCUCUCCAGGAACAAUAAAGCACAUUUUUUUGCGAAAGGAAUGUAAUCACCAAUUCCAAUAUUAGUAUUUUCAUGUGCUAUUCAGAAUAAAAAUGGGCAGGCAUUCGCCUAUAUGACAGAAUGCCUAUCCCCCCUCCUUUACGAGACACUUUUUUUUUAAUCGUAGCCUAACUAUUUCCCAUUUCAUAGAUGGAUAUCUAGGGACUCAAGUCUAAAUAAAAUUGACUGUACACAAUUAUAAUUUGUACCAGACAUAUUUUACUCGACUAAUUAUGAAAAUUGAAUCUGACAAGAAGAUACCUGGUAAGUCCAGCUAACUUGGUGCGGAAGUCAUUAAAGUUACUAGAAGGAUUCUCAUCACUAAGGAACUGGUGAAGUUCCUUCUCUGCACACUAAUGAAGCCUUUCCAAUCCGAACUCUGCCUCACCUGGUAAAGAAACCAUUUCAUGUAAGUAAAUAGGAAAACAAGAAGGAUAUGCAUGGCCAUUGUCUAUCCACAAUCCUACUCUCCAAUACAAACCUUGCAAAUACUCAAAAAAUUGUUUCUUAGCAUGAUCAUAUUCUGGUAGAUAAUAACCAUAUGCAUAUGUCCACUUGAGCACUCGCCUACACUCAACUAUCUGCAAACAUCAAAGAAGCCUAAUUUAGUUUCACAGAAGCAAGUCAGGAUAAUAAAUCAAAAACACUCCAUCAGAUUUUAACCUAUAUAACAGCCGUAUUUACAUUCCAAACUGAAAAUCACAAAUUAUAUUUAAGUUGAAUUAAGUAAUAAAACCUGCUGCCAGGCCUCUAUGAUGAACUUCAACUGUGACUCCGGCUGGCAUUGUGUGUCACUAAGCUUAUUGAGCUGACAAGAAGAAAAGACAAAACCUUAUUUAAUCAAUAGCAAAGGUCAGGAAGCAUCAGCAGCACAACAUAAUUAAACCAGAUGAAUAGAAAAGCCAUGCGUCUUGCUUCCUAUCACAAGAAAACAAAGAUCAAUUUGUUAAUUUAACAUCAUAAGCAGUUUAUCACAACUCAACCUGCCCAGUUGCCACUUAGCAUCAACACAUUUACCCAGUAUAGAUUCUUCAGACACAACUGCAAUCCUUAGUGUACUCAAUACCCAUGACUGUCAGACUAAAAUGUUAGCCCAAGUACAGAGAGGCAAACACAUACAGAAACAAAGAUCUUCCUGGUCUUGUAGCACUCCUUAAUACAGUAAUGUGAACCUAAGAUCUAUUUCUGCAGAAGUUACAACCAGAAUACAUUUGUCACAAAGACUCUUAAGUAAUAUUAUUAAUUAAUAGAAAAUUUGGCUGUUAGUGAUGCAAAAUGCUGUGAAAUUAAAUAACUGAUAUGGAAUACUAUUGAUUUAGUAAGCGCUUCAUCCUCUUCCUCCAAUUUCCUUUCAUGUCACGGCAACAAUUGAAAAUGUUGCCACAAGAAAACAAAAACCAUAUACACACAGCAAUCGCAAAUCAAAGUAUGUUCUACUCCAGAGAGAACAAAAUACUGAUGAAGAAAACGUCAUAAAGAAAGUUUCCUCUUGAUGCUGCAUGUAAAAACUGAGAAAAGAAGGACAAGUUGGGCAUCGCUGAUUCAAUUCACCCUAAAAAUAGAUACAUAUUCACGUGACAGGAUAUGUGCUGACUGCUGAGUAGUUAUGAUGAAUUCGCUUGUAACUGCGGAAAAGCUUUCCUCGAGUCCUACAAGCGAAAUGUAAUCCUGUAUUCUGAUUGGUCUGCCUAUUAAAUACGCUAUAUCUAUAUUACAAGACCACACCCCAAAUUGAAAUUAUUACUGAUGAUGUACCAAUAAAACCUCCCUAUUUUCACGCUCUCUGGUACACCAAUCAACAUCUCUUCCCUCGUAUUCCUUCUAUCCUUCAAAUUCUCUCACAUACCAAACGAGUCAACACGUACCCUCCGCGAAAAGUCGCUCCUUUACAACAAAUCUCAAACAUCAAAGCAACAAGCUCUCCUUCAUUCUUCAGAUAGAUCCCAGGACUACCCCCAAACAGUAAGACAAAGAAGAUCAGAGCCCAGAAAUCCUCUCCAUUUCCACUACCCACUAGAACGACCAAAACAGAGGCAGCCGGAAAAAUCGCUCCUUUACAACAUAUCUCAAACUUCGAAACAACAAGCUCUCCUUCAUCCGACAGAUAGAUCCCAGGAAUACCCCUAUACAGCAAAACAAAAGAAGAGCAGAGCCCAGAAACCCUCUCCAUUUCCACUACCCGCUAGACCGACCAAAACAGAGGCGGCUGGGAAAAGCCCCACGAAUCAAAUCGACACGAGAGGGACCAACUCACCAGUUCCGACCAAGGACCUCGUCGGCCCUGUAGGAAGUGAAGCGGGGAUUGUCGUCGCAGAUCUAGGGCUUCUCGGGAGAGACGGCUUUGACCAUAGCGGAGAGAGCGCGGUCCUCGUCGGAGAAGGCCCAGCGUCAGGAGAGAGCGCGAUUCGGGAAGAAAGAGGUCAGGAGGAGGAGGCCGUCGAGUAGAGAGAGGGGCCGUAGUCGGCAGGGAGAGUCGCCGUCGUCGGAGAGCGAAGAGGCCGUGGAGUAGAGAGAGAGGCCGUCGUCAGGAGGGAGCGUCGCCGUCGUCGAAGAGAGCACGGCCGUCGUCGGGAGGGAGCGUCGCCGUCGUCGAAGAGAGCACGGCCGUCGUCGGAGAGCGAAGAGGCCGGCGAGUAGAGAGACAGGCCGUCGUCGGCAGGGAGCGUUGCCGUCGUCGGAGAGAGCGCGGCCGUCGUCGUCGGAGAGCGAGCGCUAUUUGGGAGAGAGUCGUCGGGUCAGGAAAGAAGGGAUAGAGUGAGAGAGAGGAGAGAGAGGAGAGAGGAGAGAGAGAGAGAAUGCCCGCGCGUUGGUUUGAAUUGGAACGACGUGGGAGAGAAGAGGAGGAGAGACAGCAAGGGCCCACACUUCCACGUGGCGUCGCGUGAGUGGUCCGGGACCACGCUGAUGCGGAGGUCCCGGACCACCCAAUAUUUUCUUGGCUCCCCCCUCUUUCCCUAUUUAUAGGAACACUCCACCGACUUAGCCCAUAUUCUAGGAGUUUCUUUUACAAUUUUUUUCUAGAAAAAUAGGCCUUUUUAAGGCAAAUAUCUCUGCCAUUUGCUAAGAUAAUUCCAUAGAUUCUUCUAUGAUUUUCUUGUAUUUUCUAGCUCAAAUAUUUCAAUAAGUUUCUAGAAAUUGGCUCAAUAAUUUAACAUUCCUCCUUGAUCCAAUUUCGUGUUACUCCAAGCAUUUCCCGCAAUGUCUCGAACUUGGUUAGCGGUAGUGCUUUAGUGAAGAUGUCCGCUACUUGUUCCUCGGUUUUGCAAUAUUUCAGCUCAAUCUCUUUGUUAUUUUGCGACUCUCGUAUGAAGUGAUAUUUGAUGUCGAUAUGUUCUUUCAUGGAAUACUGGAUUCUUUGAUAUUUGAUGUCGAUAUUUGAUUACCGACUUAUUGUCGCAAAGUAUCGGAGUUGAUUCCAUCUGUGUUUCUCCAAUGUCUUCUAUAAUUCUUCGAAGCCAUAUUGCUUGACUAGUAGUUGUAGUAGCUGCGAUGUAUUCAGCUUCUGCAGUAGACUGUGCCACCGAGUCUUGUUUUUUGGAUGCCCAUGAGAAUAUUCCAGAACCCAAAGUGAAUGCAUAGCCAGUUGUACUUUUCCUAUCAUUAGUUGAAUCAGCCCAGUCGCUAUCAGUGUAGUCAAUGAGCUUGGAGCUAGCACUUGGGCAAUACCGAAUGCUGUAAUCUAUAGUUCAUUGUAAAUAUCUAAGAAUUCUCUUGGCAGCUCCAAAGUGUAUUUGACUCGGACUUUACAUGAAUCGUGAUAGUAGACUUGUUACAUACAUAAUAUCCGGUCGUGUAGCAGUGAGAUAUAACAAACUGCCAAUCAGACUUUUGUAGAGAGAGGCAUCGACUUUUUCUACUCCAUCUUCCUUCAAUAGUUUCUCAUUUGUCAUGAGCGGAGUUGAAACUGCUUUGCAAUAGUUCAUCUUGAAUUUCUUCAGGAGGUUCAUGGUAUAUUUCUUUUGCGAGAUAAAAACUCCUUCAUUUUGGUUGAUCUCGAUGCCAAGGAAGUAAUGCAUCAAGCCCAAGUCUGUCAUCUCAAAUGUUUUCAUCAUUUCUUUUUUGAAUUCUUGGAUCAUUGUCUCAUGGUUUCCUAUAUAUAUAAGAUCAUCUACAUAUAGAGAGACAAUGAGAGUGUUAUACUUACCUUGGGUCUUGAUGUAGAGUGUCGGCUCACUCAUACUCCUCCUGAAUCCUUGCUUGAUGAGGUACUCAUCAAUUCUACUAUACCAUGCACGUGGUGCUUGUUUUAACCCAUACAAGGCUUUCUUGAGUUUGAGAACUUUUUCUUCUUGGCCUUUGAGGAUAAAGCCUUGUGGUUGUUCUAUGUAUAUUUCUUUUUCAAGAUAUCCAUUUAGGAAUGCUGACUUCACAUCUAGUUAAUGGAUCUUCCAUUCUUUUUGUGCUGCUAGGGUUAUGAGUGCUCAAAUAGUAUCAAGGCGAGCGACGGGAGCAAAAGUUUCAGUAUAGUCGAUACCUGGUUGUUGCAAUUAUCCUUUCACCACAAGCCUUGCUUUAUGCUUUUGGAUUGAUCCAUCUGCGUUGAGCUUCGUCUUGUAGACCCACUUGACGCCAAUGAUCUCUUUGUCUUCGGGUUGAUCGACAAGCUCUCAAGUUUCAUUUUUCUCAAUCAUCUUGAUCUCUUCCUCCAUGGCUUUUAUCCAGACUUCAUCUUUGGAUGCUUGUUCAUAGUUUUCUGGUUCCAAAAUAGCAAAGUUGCAUGUGUCGUAAAUUCUUCUAAGGGCUUUUACCCUUAGCACUAGAGACUCUGGAGUAGAUUCUUCUUGCGUUACUCUUGGAGAGCUUGGUGGAGUUAUGUCAUGAGUGGCGGAAUCCGGUACAUCUUCUUCUUGUGACGUUGACUCCUCUUGAGCAGGUGGUAUGUCUGGCAAGGUGAUGUACUUUUUCUCGAUCUUCUCGUCCUCCUAAUUCUAGGUAGCAUUCUCGUCGAACUCGACGUCUUUACUAAUCAUUAGCUUUUUAGUUCUUAGGUUGUAAAUCCGAUAGCCUUUUGAUUGGUCACCGUAGCCAAGGAAUAUUCCUUUUUAUGUCUUUUCAUCUAGCUUACUCCUUUUCUGAGCAAGGAUGUGGACGUAGCAAAUGCAUCCAAACACUUUGAGAUGCUUUGCUGAAGGCUUCCGUCCACUCCAUGCUUCGACUGGUGUUUUAUUUUGAACAGCUUUAGUUGGACACCUGUUUAACAGGUAUACUAUAGUAUAAACUGCUUCUGCCCAAAAAGUGUUGGGAAGGCCUUUCUCCUUUAGUAUAGACCUUGCCAUCUCCAUGACGGUUCUAUUUUUUCUUUCAGCUACUCCAUUUUGUUCUAGGGCGUAGCCAACCGUUAGUUGAUGAUGGACUCCUUCAUCUUCACAAAAUUUAUUAAACUCAUUUGAAUUGUAUUAUGUGCCUCUAUCACUCCUUAGGACUUUGAUUCUUUGGCCACUUUGAUUCUCGACGUGGUUCUUGAAUUUUUUGAAGAUAGAGAAAACCUCUGAUCUUUCUCGAAGAAAGUAUACCCAUGUCAUUCUUGUGUAAUCGUCAAUGAAUAGGAUGAAAUAUUUAUUUUGACUGGGUGUAGGUGUCCUCAUCGGACCGCACACGUCCAUGUGAACAAGUUCCAAUGGCUUCUUAGCUCUCCAUGCACCUCCAGAUGGGAAGGACUGUCUCUGUUGUUUUCCAAGAAGACAGCCUUCACAAACAUCUGAAAUUUCUGAAAUAGCUGGAAAGUCUCUCAUCAUAUUUUUUUGAUGGAGAGUUUUUAGCCCAGCAAAAUUGAAGUGGCCAAAUCUUCGAUGCCAUAGCCAUGAAUCAUCAAGUUGAGCUUUCAUGGCUAUAUCUUUGACAUAUUUCCAUCGAAUAGGAAAAUUAUUGUUUUCCAUCUUAACAGAGGUAAUGACAUUUUUAUAUUUAUCAUAGAUAAUGCAGGCAUAUCUAUUAAAAUAUAGAGAAUACCUACUUUGUAUCAUUUGGCCCACACUUAAGAGAUUUUGUGCAAGACGAGGGACUAGAUAUACAUUAUGUAUAUAUUUUGGGCCUUUAUUCGUUUCCACGGUGAUGGUGCCUUUUCCUUUGACAUCUACUAAUGCACCAUUGCCCAACUUUACUUGGGAUUUCACCGACUUAUCAAUAUCAGUGAAUAUAGAUUCGUCCCCCGUCAUAUGAUUGCUACACCUACUAUCAAUGUACCAUGUUUCACUUUUAUUAUUAUUUGCCGCUUGGCCUGCGUAGAAUGUAUUCUCUUCACUUUCUUUUUUUACUACAUAGUUUGCUCGAUUAUUUGUUUUCGAGCGACAAUCUUUUUCUACGUGGCCAUAUCUUUUACAAAAGCGGCAUUGUUUUUUAUUUUUAAACCAAAAAUCAUUCUCCAAAUGAUUUGUUUUCUUGCAAAUACCACAAGCUGGAUAAUUUUCCUUUUUUUUAUAAUUUCUCAUUCUCUUUUGUUUUUCCAUGAGCUCCUUCCACCAUUUUUAGUUUGAUGAGACCGUAUAUUUACUUUAGACUGAAAGGCGUUUUCAACUGAAUCUUCAUCUUGUGCCAUUAGUCUUUUCUCAUGUGCUUCUAGAGAGCCAAUUAAUUCACUCACUAAUAGGGUCGUCAAGUCUUUAGUUCCUUCUAUAGUUGUAACUAUGGAGUUGUAUUUUUUGGUAAGUGACACCAAUAUUUUCUCAACAACCUUUGAUCAGUUAUUCCAUCUCCAUAGGCUCUCAUUUGAUUAAUGAGUUCCUUUAAUUUCCACAAUAUUCUUGUACGGUCUCAUAAUUUUUCAUUUUAGAAUUCUCAAAAUCUCUUCUCAGAGUUUGAAGGCGAAUAGUGCGUACCUUUUCCGAUCCUUGAAAUUAUUCUCGUAGUAUAUCCCAAGCCCCUUUUGCAGUCCUUACUCCAAUUAUUCUCGGAAAUAUGGUUUUCGAGAGUGCUUGCUGGAUAAAGUAUAGCGCUCUUGCAUCAAGUUGAUCCUUCGAAACACUUGCACCUUCUGGCGGAGCCUCGCAACCUUUUUCCACGAUGUCCCAUAAGUCUUGGGCCAUCAAGAAUGUAGUCAUUUUUUUGCUCCAAAAGUCAUAGUUGUUCCCAUCAAAAAUGAGAAUGGGAAAUGAUGAUGAGGUAGAGUUGGCCAUGGUUUAGUUAGUGGGUAUUUGGAAAGGGUAGUUUUAGGAAUGGGUAGGUAGGACAAAUGCCCAAUACCAACCAAAGACGUGGCUCUGAUACCACUGUUGGUAUUUGCAGAGGCGUGUGUUUGAUGUGUGUGCAAGUGUGUUUUGUGUGAGAACUUUCAAGAGGGCUAAGGAAAGAACAAUGUGGGUAAGAAAAUAAUUUGCAGCAAGGGAGCACAAGGGAACAAAAUAAAACCUUUUAUUUAUUUAUUUGUAGUACAAAGUACAAAGGAAGGGGAGGAGCUUACCUUUUUGCUCCGCCUUUUUUCUACGCUCCCCCCUCCUUCCCUAUUUAUAGGAACGCUCCACCAACUUAGCCCAUCUUCUAGGAGUUUCUUUUACAAUUUUUUUUUCUAGAAAAAUAGGCUUUUUUAAGGCAAAUAUCUCUGCCAUUUGCAGAGAUAAUUCCAUAGAUUCUUCUAGGAUUUUCUUGUAUUUUCUAGCUCAAAUCUUUCAAGAAGUUUCUAGAAAUUGGCUCAAUAAUUUAGCAGAAAUGUUCUGAUGUCUGGUCCUUGUUCAGACGAGUAUCAUUUUGACCGUGUUAUUCUCCAUAAAAUGGAAUCACUUAGUUUGAUUUUGACGAGUGCAUCACAGGCUAACUGAACGCAGCAUUCUUGUUCGUGGUUUGCUUCAUGUAGGCUCUCCCAUUCCCAGUUGAUGUGCCAUGAUUUCCCCAACUUAAUCCUAGCUUACUCUCACAUUCUUCUUCCACAGUAUUACUUCACGCUAUGGUUAAUGACAUUGUCUCACUUUUCUUAAUUACAGUAAUUUUCAUCAGCCAGAUGUUGGCAUCUCCCGCCAAUGUUUAGUUCAGAGAACUUUCAUCUUGGAUUUCAGCUGGUGUCUCACAUUGUUCUCAAAUCUGCCCCCACUGCAUACAAAGCAGGCUAUAAGGCUUGGCAUUUCUCAGUAUCAAUUCCACUUACUACUUGCUUUGUUUAUAAUGAUUCAUGGAACCAAAACCGCCCUUAUAACUACGACUUGCUGGGACCAGGAAGUAUAUCAUGACAAUUACCAGGUGAUCUAUGCUGUAGGAUGUUGAUGCCCGCGCCCUUCAUGUCAGGGCAUUUACAUCUCUUCUAAAGUUGAAUUUUUGUGGAUUGCUUACUCGCUCUAUGUUUUGAGUGAGUAAUGCGAGAGAUUACUUGACCAUUUUGCAAAACUGACGUGUAAAGUGAUGAAUUGAGACUUCCAUUGGGGUCGAUGUCACCGUUGGUCUCUCUAUUUUUACUUGGAAAUCAAGUUAUCAACAUGCUACUGUCUCGCAUGGUUCUCGGAUCUGCCGCUUCUCCUAGCCAUUGCAGUGCCACAAUCUCACUAACUUUUCCAAGUUUUCCAUCAUCAGUUUUUUCUUUACACUAUGACUACAUUUUUUCUCCUUUUUCCUAUCAAUGCAGUAUGAUAAAUUCAGAUCUAAUAUCAUUUCACUUCUCUUUCUGUAAUUGUUUUCUCAGUACCAUCUGAUUGUUGAUCCUUCCCUGGUGCCAGAGGUGCUGUUAUAAAGUCUAACCUGCUUCUAUCAAUAUUAUGUCGUGCUACAGCAAAGUCAGCACCCUCUCUUAGAUGAAGCAACCUUGACUAGAUCUGGAUUUGCUAUAAUCAUUUAAAACUUCAAGCAUUUCACCUGGACUAGGUAAAAUAUGGAAUAAACAGAAAAUUGAACUGCUCCAAACAAAAGAUAAAAAGAAAGUUGCAUGUGUAAGUGAAUUGAUAAAAAAGAAACAGGUUAUGAUGGACGCAACCUCAAAUACCAAUCACCCCAAGUCCAUGCGAGGGACUCUUCAAAACUUCAUCUGUCCAUGUCCACACAGUCUAGAUGAUUUUCUUGUAGAAAUUACAUAGAAACUAACCAUGGAUAUUACAAAUAGAUGAAGUGGAGGAAUAGCAAAUUGCAGUAAUCUAGAGCCUAGACCCUUGGGAUUAUUAUCGGAUGAGCUCGCUGCAUUGAAUGCUCAUUCAAAGUACAGAACAGAAACCGAAGAUCAGAGAAAAUAAUAUGCACAAGAUGUUGAAGAUUGUUCUCUAUCAAUUGUUUCACAAUGAUCUCCGUGAGGGACAACAAACUUUUUAAAAGCUUGUAAGCAUUUGUCAUAUCUCAUGAGCCUAACCUAAUGACUUCAACAAGAUACUCUCCUUCCAUGGGUUCUGAAGAUCAGAGCAAAGAAUAUGCACAUGAAAAAUCGAUGUUUUGAUCCAUUCUCUAUCAAUUGUUUUGUGAUGAUUUCUGUGAGGGAAAACUGCAUUUGGAAAAUAAAAACAGUGUCACUGUGAUUCGCAGGGAUUUGCAUUCCAGUAGCUUGUGAAGGUAGUUUUUCCAUCAGAUUUGUGAGAGUAGUUGAACUUAGGUAUGAAAGGAGACUAUAUCUGUAGAGGAAAGCAAAGGGCAUCAGAGUAACGCAUAGAGCUGUAACAAAGGAAGUUGGACCGGGCAUCAUGAAUAUCAAAUCGUGUUGGUCCUGCUUCUGGAUGUGCGGUUAGCGUCGACACUCGGUUGUCUUCUUUUACUGUUGACGAGAUCUGGUAAAACUAUCUUUCUUGAUUUGCUAAUUACCGGUCUGCCUAUGGUUUAGUUGCGCCUGAUCAUUCUAACGGAUGAUGUUGUGUUCAAGCGAUGGAUUUCAUUGCAAAGUUCUCUUCUCGGUUGUGACCGAAAGUCAUCUUCAAGCCUCACCACUAAGGUCAUCUUCACACUUGGAUAUGCCCCUUUUUGUACGUUGGUUCUGGCAUCCAUCACGCAGCAUGCAAAGACAAAAUGUCUUUGCUAGCAUAACAGUCGAGCUACCGUAAAAAUAAUAGUUUGUUGCGAGCCACAAAUUAUUGAUGAAGUGGACCCUGCAAAUAUUUAUGAUUUUUUGUUAUUUGAUUUUUUGUGGUCUAUAAUAAUGUGUUGUUUUUACGGUAUGGCUUUUGUCAUACACAUUCAAUGCAUAGAUGAUAUAAUGUGGCAAAAGAAAAAAAAAUCUCCAUAGGAUAAAAUAUAUGAACGAAAUUUGCACAUACUAUUAGUCAACAUAGUAUAUAUUCUCAUCAUUUAUGAAUGAAUAUUACUAGAGAGGUUACAAGAUAGGAACAUUAACUAAAAUUUGUUCUCAAAGAAGCAAUAAAACCUAGGAUAGGUAUUUUCUUUCUUUGUAUAUCGAUUAUGUGCUUUGUUCAGACCACUUUUGGAACACCACAAUUGAUUCACCUCUCCGAUAGAUUUUAAGGGAACCUUCCUUAUUAGGAAAAGUACCAAAAAAGUCAUAAACAUAUUACAUUGGUACUAAUUCAGUUCUAAACCUUUCUAUUGGAGCAAUUUAAUCCUAGAACUUUUCACAUUGAUAUCAAUUCAAUUCAUUCGGCCAAUUUUGGCCGAUCGGCACUGACGUGGACACCAGCUGGUGGCCAAACACUAACAUGGUAAUUUUUAAAGUUUAGAAUUAAAUUGAUCUAAUUGAAAAUGUUAUGACUGAAUUUGUAUCAAUGUAAUAGAUUUAUGACUUUUUUGGUACUUUUCCCUUUUUAUUUCAAUCUAAUUCGUUCAGGAUUUUAAUGUGAAGUGCUCUGAAAAAUAGUCGAAUCGGAGUCCCACACCACAGGGAAUUGAGCAAACUUAUUUGUCAUCUAAACCAACAUCUUUUUUUUUUUUUUAUUAUUUUUUUUUGGUGCUGGAGGAACCGGCUUGCAGCCGACAGUCGCGCCGUAAACCCCCAGGUGACACUUAAGCAGGAGGACCCACCACCCUUGAGUCACACUUGAUACACCUAGUGCCUCCCCUGGGUUUUGAACCUUUCACCUCUGGGUUGAGGAUCAACAAGGCCUUAUUCAGCGGAGCCACCGCGGCCGGUGGUAAACCAACAUCUUAUUGGUUGCUAUUUGUAUUUAAAAAAUGCUUGACUCACUAAGAUUGAUUUAUACUAUCGGUUUAUUAAGUGAUGUGCUAAACCGUCAUUAAUUCUUAAACACGACCCACUUUUUUUAAAAAGCUUAUCCACAAUCUCACCCAUUAUUUAGUUUUUUUAAUUCGCUAUUAAAAAGUCCAGCACUGUUAUUUGUAUUUCAAAAGCCUAUCCAAUUUGCGAAGGAAUUCCAUUUCAGAUCUAAACACUCAUGCCAAUCUCACGACAUUCUUAGUACCCCUAACAUUUCCCCUUUUCUAUUGAUACCAACCUGACUUCGAAUUCAAAAUGAAUAUAUAUACAAACCAUAAUUUGCCAGAACGAAAUUCUCGUCGCCAAAAGUCUACUAACUAGCUAGACGCUAAGCUCGAUCUAUCACGCGAGACAGCAUUUUCACGUAAAAGAUUUAAUGCAAGAGCGGCCCUCUCUUCAUUUUUUGGGACGGUUCCUUUCACGCAUCCUCCCUAGCACAUCCAUAAUUAACUGCGCUACAGUCUUUCUUCACUUCUUCUCAUCUGUCUCUGCCUGCGAAACCUUCACUUUCUCCUGUCUUCCUGUCCUCACAUCAUCAUCAUUGUCAGUGACGCUCCAGCAAAGCCGGCGAGUCACCACAAGAAGCCACAUCAAUGCAAAGACCAUUGCAUAAGCUCUGCCACACAACACUGUCCCCAUCAGACUAAUGAACAGCAGAUAUGCCAUAUCAAGUUUGGCUCGUUUCGUUCGUGACUGAUCUUGAUGAUCUGGGCUUUGCUCUUGCUUCAUUGAUGAGCCAUUGUACAAGAAUCCACCGUGAGACCACUGUUUGGACACACAGUCCACGUACUCUAAUGCCGAACUUGAAACUGAAGAAAGAGAGGUAGAAGAAAAAUGAUUUGCCUGAUCAUCGAUAAGCUUCUGAUCGUUGUUAUCACAUAACGACCCCCUUGGUUCGGCAUCCAUUGAAGGACAGUGUUUCGUCAACAAUGAGUUUCGAAAUGAACUACUUCUUUUCCGGCGGAUAGUCCGAGCCUGCGGAAAAAAAAUGGAGAAAAAUGAGUACAUAUGGAAACCACUAAAAUGUUCUCACAUAGUUCUCAGACCUAAAGUGACAUUUUCACGAUAGUUUCUUCCGCAACAUAAUAUGUAAUCCUCGUUGGACAUUUCUUUAAUGGCACAAACUAGAAAAACGAAAAAAGUGGGAUAACAAACCAAAGCGGUGUAGAAGAGAGCGGACUUCAACAUGCGCGAAAAGCUAUGCUUUCUCGAUCGAGCAUACGGUGGUUUCACGCUUGCUCUCUCAUUGUCGUCCUCAUCGAUCAAAAGAUGCAUGAGCUGGCUCCGCCUACGCCUGGGCUCGAGCAUCAUGUCCUCGAUGACGGGUCGUCUAAAGCAAUGCAAGAACUUGAUCCUCGACACAUUCUUCAUGGUCUCUCUCUGACGUUUCAUGCGUUGCAGAUCGCAACCCUUGUUUCGGACUCAAUGGAGAAAAGAAACGAGGCAGGAAAAGAUGGGGAGGCCACACGUUAUUUUUGAAUGGCUUCGAGUCGAAAGGCCAUAGAUUUAGCGUAGUUUUGGAUCACUUGUUUUCUUUUCCUCUGGUGCAAGUGUAAGUACAUGAAGACAUCUCUCUAUAUAUAAAUAUUUAUAUUUCCAGAGUGAGAAUUACUAUCGGGUGGUUAAGGAUUUAAAUGCUUGAAUGAGAAGGUCAGAGAAAAGGGCAAAAGGGGAUAAUGGCUUACUGACGCCGAUGGACAGACAGGUAGGAGGAGAGGGUAUGACUACGCACGUCUUGGCUUAUGGUUUUAGUGAAGAGAAAUGACUUUAAAUUUGAAUGGUCCUCGUUAUGAUCGUCAAGACAUCUCUAGAUAAUCAAUCUCUGAGUGGGGUUAACCGUGAUAGUUGUCCUCCAAGAAAUUCUAAACUUAUUCCUUUUAUUUAGGAGUAUUCAAAAAAAUCGAGAAUCGCCCAAAAUCGGACCAAACCCACCUAGAACCAACGGUUCUCAUGAGAACAAUCCGGUUCCAAGGAUAGAAUCAUCCACCUGAACUGGACCAAUAUAUAUAUACUGGUCAAGUUUUCUAUCAAUUCUAAAGUCCCUAGCAAUGGACUUGUUUCUUUGAUAUCUUAAUGAGGACAUUGAUGCUCUCUUCUUGUUGUCCAAAUUGAGACUCAUCUCAACUAUUGUCAUCGUCCUCCCUUCUAUAUCUUUUCCUUCAUUAGGAUCACAUGCUAGUUUGGUGUCCAUACAACACACAUUAGAAACAUUUUGGCUUUAUUCCUUCCUCUAGAAAACCGGUUCCAAGGAUCCACCCGAGAACUAGAUUGGUAACCAACGAAUGGUUCUUGGUUCUAGGGGGGAAUAGUCCACUGCCCAUCUUGGAACCAAUCACCCUUGCAUUCAAUUUGAGAAAUGUAUUGCUUCUUCAAAAUCCCAGGGGUGCCUUGCAAAUGCUUGUGCUAAUAAGCAUUUUGCUUGCAUGCAUGCUACAAGCCAAAAGUUCCGCCUGCUUACACGAUCGCAAGAAAUCGAAUCAUGCUGUUUUAGUGGGUGAAUAAAUGCAGUGGUGGUCUGUGGUCAUUCGAGCAGAGAAACAGUGGAUGGGAAAUCUAACGAUUUUGCAUAUGUAACAUCUGCCUUUCCUAUCUACACGUCGAACAACCCUCUUGUGUCCGAAAUUUAUGCAUCACCCUUUGAGCAUUAUCAUUAGAGUCUUCUAAACAAAUAAGUCGGCUAAGCCUAUUAAAUGAGUGGGCAGAAUUGAGUCGAAAAAAAUGUCUGAUCCACUUAACCCGCAUUAACCCAUUUUUAUGCUAUACAAUUUUAGAGUUCCAUACCUGACCUGAUUAACACCUAACAUAUAACCGAUACAAUCCAUAUUACUAAAAAAAUCCAUAUCUAACCCAAUUUAUGCAAACUCGUACCCGUUCGCUCAAACAACUUUAAGCCUUUCAUAUGAAUCUAUCAUUUAGAUAAAAUUUUAUAUCAAUUUAAAAAAUAAUAAACCAAAUAAAAAGUCGCCACUCGUUGUCGCUUGCCUAACCAACUCAGUUAACGUUGUCUCUCCUCCGUCCAAGCCCCACACCGCUGCUGUGGAGACCCCAAACAUAGUUGCCUCUCUCUCUCGUGCGCGCGAUAUCGAAUAAGAGGUCGUGAACCUAUGUCUAACUUCACUGAUCAUUGUGGUUGUGGCAUCGCCAUGACCCAAGCCCAUCUAUAUAAUUUCUAUUUUGAAUGCAAUAACAAAGUAACCAAUGACAUUACUUGGUCAUCAUCAUAGCCAUUGUCAGCACAAUCACAUUAAUGUUGUUGGAAACUUUUGUAAAUUAAAAUUUUGAAUCUUAAGGUAAACAUUAAAUUAAGAAAAGAUCUAAAUUGUUUCCACCAAACGAUCUCCAAAGUUUGAUAAAAAUAAAAAUAAAGUAAAUUAUAUUAAAGUUGCGCUCCAACUUCUCUUUAGAUGUGCAACAAUCAAUGUAAAUCACUGCAGAUAUGUACCGUGGGCCACAAGGGAGUACAAUGUGCUUGUUGUUCAUAUUUAUUCGCUUCAGUUUUUGAACAAAAGCGAUCCAACCGAAUAUAUUAAUAAAUUUGGACUUGCACUCUAUUCUCGGCCUGGUCUUUGGGCUUUUUUAUGCAAAGAAUGAAGAUGCAUUAUAUUCAGUGAAAUAUUGUUUGAUGCAGUGUAUAUUUUAUUCCGACCUGGAAAAAUGAUAAUAAUCCCCUGUAAAAUUUCAUUAUUUCUAUUUAAACUCGGCCCAUACACUAGACAUUAAUACAAACCAAAUAUCCUCCCAAGCGCACAUUCCUCCUAUCAAUUUUAUGAAAAACUUACAAUAUUUCCCAUCGUAGUUCAUCUCUCCAAGAGCUGUGCGUUUUGCAGAUUUUCCUUUCCAGUUUUCCUUUGAGUUAAGUCCCCAAGCCUGUUUUAGUCUUGGAAGUCCAAGCGAGUUGAAAUAUGGAUCGUUUAAGCGACCCAUCAUCUAUGUAGCACGGACACUCUCCAGAAGCCUUUAUGUCGUGUCCGACAUGCUCCGACACGCGGUCAACGAGUAUUGAAAAAUCCGACACGUGGUCAACUCUCUCCGACACGCUCCGACACGUGAGUCCAGAAUUUUGACAUGCGAUUCCGAUACGCACAGGGUCAAUUUCUAAUACUUGAGGGGUCAAAAUAUAAAUAUACACAAAAAAAGUAAUAAAAAAAGUAAUAAAAUUGCUAUAAAUAUACACGCACGGGGUCAGUUUUUUUUUUUCAGUUUUGUUUUUUUAGAAUUGUUUUAUUUUUUUUAAAAGUCUUUUACUAUGAAAGAAGUAAUAAAAAAUGCUAUAUAUGAUAAAUUAAUAAAUUUAAAAAUAUCAUUUCAGCAUUUUUCUUUAAACAAUGUUUUUUUCCUCUAAGUUUUGUGUAUUAUUGUAACAAAUUAAAAUAAUGAAGAUAUUAUUUAAUAUUUUUCGUGUAAAUUAAUUAUAUGCUAUUAUUUAUUUAUGUAUUUAUAUAUAAAAAUAUAUUUAAUAUAUAACGUGUCGGAACGUGUCUAAAUUCUCUAUUUUUAAGAAAUGACGUGUCGGCGUGUCGUGUCGUGUUGUGUCGUGUGUCGUGUGUUCGUGUCGGUGCUACAUAACCCAUCAUGACCCAUUUUACUGAAUCUUAACCCAUUUUGCCCCGACUUUGUUGCCAAACAACUUACCCAUUCUACAAGGGGCCAUUAAAUAUGGGUUGCAAAAUCAGUUUGUGAUUCAUUUUACCAGCUUUAGUGACCACACGGAUAAUUCUGAUCUAUGACCAAAGAUUUCGAUUUAUGGGUUUAUCAAUAUAGUUUCCUUUAAGACGCAAAAUAAAGCAAUUUAACACGUAGUCACUUUUACCGUUUCCUAACUAGUAAGCUAAAGACCCUUUUUCUGAUUUUAUUUGUAUCACCUUUUCUAAUGUAUAAAAUAAGUGACAGAAUCAUGUAAUCUCGUCCCGAAGCCAAUGUUUUGCUAUAUCAGGCUCAAUGUUAUAUGAUCUGACAGUGCCUAUAUCAUUGGGCUUCGCUUGGAUUCUGAUUAAUUUAAUACAUUGGCCCGUAGUCCUAAAUGGAUCCUACCAUCAUCAAAGGACGGAACAAUAAAUGUUUAUUCCCAUGGAUUAAUGAGAUUUAAACAACGAUUUUUGGAACGGGCCAGCAACGACAGCCAUAUUUCUUUAUGACCGAUAUCUAUUGUUUUCACAAAAAAAAAAAAAAAUACAAAUUGAAACCUUUCAAAAUAUCCAAACAUUGAAAAUUUAGAAUCAUAUGGAAUCUUUUCAAAAUAUUUUCGCAUUUAAAGUAAUUUGUUUUCAGUUUGAAAAUAUAGAAGUAGGGUCACGAAGACAAGUUAGAAGUAGGUGAAUAACACCACCAAAUAGCCCCUGCCUUCAUGAUACAAAACUUAAAUAUUGCUAGACUUUCAUCAAAGGUCAUUGCAAUUUCCAUCUUGAUAUACCAGAUUGGAAAUGAAAUCGAAGCCGAGCUGCAAUUCUAGUGGUCCACUUGAAAGUGAGGAUAUAUGAUGUCAAGGAUGAUGUGAAGUACUUUCUCCAAGAUAAAAAUACCUUAAAUGAAAAAAAAAAGAAAUUCAGACGCAAGGGUUAGGACAAAAACAGAAAAUAGGAACUUGCAAAGAUAUCAGGUUAACCUGUCUGGUCUUCAAUUUCCAUUCGGAAAGAACAAAAAGGAAAGAGAUUUUCCACAAAUAUAGGGUCAAAUUAACCUAAAUCUAUCAUUAGCACCAACCAAAAUUGAUAGUCAAGUGUAGCGAUGAAGCCGCCAUAGUAAUGUUCCAAGCACCAAGAGGACUACAUUGACACUAGUCCUGCAGAGAAAGUUACAUAUGUACGGAAAUUGAUAAAACCGUCAAAGCCUAUAAUGGACGCUACGCCAAGUACCAAUAGCUCCAAAUCCGGGAGGAGGUCUCUUCACGCCAUCACCCGUAGCCAAGGGCCUAGGACCCACCGACAUAGUCGAUAAGGCUUUUUUUGAUAAAGACAUACAACCAAUGUGAUUCGUAUAUAUAGGGAAUAAAUCAACGCGGUAAUCUAGAGUUUAGUCCCUUGACUAACAAGUCGGUUCAGCAUCUGUGUGGAAUGAGGGCAUUUUGUUGAAGAUACUAACCUCAAGAUUAGCUUAGACAAGAGUAGGAAUAUCAAGAAAAUUGGACCAAGCAUCGUGAAAAUAAAAUCUUGUUGGUUCAGCUUUCCAAUGUAUGAAUGACUUUGACACUUGGUUUCUUCCUUUGUUGUUGAAUAGAGCAGUUAAAACUGUGUUCUUGCUUUACCAAUGUCCAGUCCGCCUAUGUUUCAAGUCUAGCUUGAUCACUCAACAUACGAUCUUGAGUUGGAGUGCUCACUGCUCAGAUUCAUUGCAUGUUAUUUAGUUGGACUAGUAGCGUCUUCUUCACUCUAGGGUAUGCCCGUACUCGUCCAUUGGUCUUGGCAUUCGAACUUAAAUAAGACCUAUUGUAUGAUGCCGGCCUAAAUGCUUCUAUCUGCGUAUUCCAUGAAAAUGCCCUGGUCUCAGUAAGUUUCCACAUAUUACUCUGCGCGUUUUUUGACGACUUCUUUGAGAUCUCUUACCUCACCCUCACUCCAAGCACACCCAUAUAUAUACUUCCCCUGUGAAUUAUGUUUCUAAACCUGUCCGCUCGAACCUUGUUUGGUACAGCCAUGGAUAGCAACAACGGUAGUCCAUGAUCGUUCACACGCCCAAUUUUCUUGCUUUGCUUAUCUCUCUGCACCACCCACCUCUGUCUUGGCUCCAACACCAUCUCCACCAACCAGUCCCUCUCCGGCAACCAAACCUUAAUCUCCUCUGGCGGCAACUUCAAGCUCGGCUUCUUCACACCAGGUAACUCCUCGUACUCCUACAUAGGCAUCUGGUACAACAGAAUCAGCGUGCAAACGGUUGUCUGGGUCUCCAACAGAGACAACCCCGACAGGUACUCCACUGGACUUAAGAUCUCGGGUGGCAAUCUUGUAUUGGUCAACGACUCUGAAGUCCUCGUUUGGUCCACAAAUCUGACUCCUUCAUCUGGGUCGAGCUCCAUGGUGGCAGUUCUUGGGGAUGAUGGCAACUUCGCUCUCAAAGACGGGCUGAAUUCUUCCGUGACUCUGUGGCGAGCUUCGAUCACCUGACGCGCACGUGGCUUCGGGGUGCGAAAAUGGGAAUCGACAAGCGCACGAGCACGAGUCAGCUAUUGACAUCAUAGAAGAACGCCGAGGAUCCUUUGACAGGUUUGUUCUCUUUCCAGCUCGAGCCAUCUAGUGAGUACUACAUAUGGUGGAAUAGGAAUGAGCAUUACUGGACCACUGGGGUGUGUGACGAAAAUUUUCUCUUUGGUCCCUGAAAUGAGAUUGAACUAUAUUUACGAUUUCAAAGUUGUGGACAACGAGAACGAGAGCUACUUCACCUAAGUGUACACCAAUGCCAACACCAUAUCAAGGUUUGUGAGGGAUCUUUCUGGGCAGAACAAGAUGGUGUCCUGGUUGCCUUCUUCACUAGCGUGGAACUUGUUCUGGUCUCUGAGAUAGCUAGUAUAAUCACCUAGAGGGGGGUGAAUAGGUGCACAAACAAAUUUUCGAGAUACGAAAGCGAUUUUAGGCAAUCGAUAGAAAAGAAAAUACGAUCAAAGUAAAGUAAAGGUUAGGGAAGAGAGAAAUGAACACAAGAUUUAUAGUGGUUCGGCUUAUUCCAAGCCUACGUCCACUCUUCCGCACUGACAGCCCACCGGCUAGAUUUCACUAUGAACAAAAGAGAAGUUACAGCACCGCUUUUCCUUGAUUCCACAGUGUAGAUGUUUUACCACACUUCCUCAAGGUUUCUCACGAAUAUAGACUCUCUUUUGUUUACACGAUUUUGCUCAACAAAUGAAUUGACUAGGAACAAGAAGCUUCAGACUUUGGAAUUCUUCUAUCGUGCACACUUUCGAACAACUAGAACGUCUUCCUUAUAUACUCCUUCAUGCCAUCAUACCCGUUGGCACUUACCAAAGGAAUUCCUCCAAUCUACCCAUUGGACGGAAUCAAUUAGGAAGAUCAUUCGAGCUAUUAAAGGAACACGUCGAUAGCCCAUCAAUCAUGUUCGCCCAUACAAUCAGGAUCUCGGUUUCCAUAAGUAGAACAUUCCAAGUAUACUUCGUCAAUCAUCGGAUCCUUAAUUUUCGAAUCAAUUAUGAUCAAAUAAAGAAUUCCGUUAUGUUAUAUCCAGCCAAGAGAUCUUUUCCAGUCGAUAAGGCCUCAUCCUUAAUGAAACAUCCAGUUCUGGAUAGCCUUUCUACAACGGAUUAGAAACUGUCAAUGAGGAUAGACUUUGAGUCUUGAGUCUGGCUGUCCGGAGGUCUUCAGACUUUAAAUAGCAGAGUCUGCAAGCCUUCAGACUAGACUGAUGGAAACGUUUUGUCAACUUCAAAACACUUCAAGAGGAAUUUCUCCAACAAUCUCCCCCUUUUUGAUGGUGACAAAACUUUCCUGCAGAUUUGGAAAACUUUGACCUGCAAAACAUUUCUUAAACACAUAUGCAUAUCUUAUAGAUAAAUGGCUAAAUGAAUAACACUAGAAUCUGCAACCACAGAAAAUAGGUUAGUCCAGUAUGCAAUAAAGCCAUCCAUAAGACAUCAAUAGUAGUUAAUAAUAAUCAGUCAAAUCCAAAUCCCAGAUUUAGUCCACAUCCAGACACAAGUCAAGUCAAAACAAACCACAAACCAAACAAGCCAAAAGUUCGACAAAUUUAAGUUCAAAUUUAAGUUCAAAGUUUUUCAAGUCUCGCAACUCUCCCCCUUUUUGUCAGCAUAAAAAAAAUUGAGAUGAAAAUGAAGUCAAGGAUUUUUGGGAACACGAACAAGCUGGAAAUCUCCCAUUGACUGAACGAUGCCUUCCAGCCUUUUAAAGUCUUCCUUUAGCUGAGCAACAUCCUCACCCUUAGCAUUAGCCUGAAUCUAAAGAGAAAGGGCUUGGAUUUGAUCAUUUAAUGAACCCGAAGAGACUUGUCAUGCAUUCUGCAAGUUCUGAACUUCACAUCCCAAUGCAUAUAUCUGACAUUGCAUCUCCAAGAGAAUAUCCAUCACUCUGCGAAAGUCUGCUGAAUUUUCGGUCUGCGUACUGGCAUUAGCACGAUCUGAUGGAGUAAAUGCAGAUGAUGGUAGAUCAGCAUAAUCACGCAGAUUUGGAGAAGAAACCUCAUGACCUUCCUUAGGAAACUGAGAGGCAAAAACUUCCUCUGGAUCUGCUGGGGAUCGAUUGACUCCCUCACUGGUUGCAGGAUUUGAGGUCAUUCCUCUUUUCUCUUGGUCUCCCCCUGUGUCCAUGCCUUCAGGUGGAGAGUGCUCCUCAUGUUCUCCUUCUUCUUGAUCUCUUUUAUCUUCUUCUUAUUUUUCAACUCUCUCUUGCUCAGCAUCUCUUUCUUCUUCUUCUCCUCUUUCCUCUGUUUCUUUUUCCUCUGCUUCUUUCUCUGCUCUUUCUUCUGUCUGCUGUUUUGACUCUUUCUUUGGAACAGAUCGACUGAGAUUCUUCAAAGCAAAAAUAGUGAUGUUUUCCUCAUCAUCUUCAUCCUCAACGAGGAGAGCUCUUCUUCUCUUAGAUGGAGCAUCCAUGGGUUCCUUCCCUUUCCUUUUUCUUGCAGAAGAGAAUUGAUGAGAUUUGACUGGAGUCUUCUCCUUAAAUUUCUCCAAUGCCUUACUUAGUUCCUUCAGACGCAUCUUGGUCACCAUUUUCAGUCCUACCACCAUAUGAUCGCACGAUCGAGCACAAAGAAUUUGCGGAGGCUGAAUGUUCAGAUGUCUGAAUAACUUCGUCACAAGACCUGGAUAAGGAAGUUGUCCUCUGUCCUUCAUCAUAGCUCUAUACAUGUGGAACAUAAUAGUGUGAGGAAGAGAAAACAUUUUCCCAGUGAUGAUAGCAUACAUUAGCUUUGCCUCUGAACUUGAGACAUCAGUCUUGGAAGUUGAUUUCGGUCUGAGGCAAUUUAUUACAAUUUUGUGCAGCAAGAUGUUAAAUGCACUCAUUCUUGAAUAGGAAAUCUUUCCCUCUGUUCUCCUGUCCUUAACCAGUUCCAGAGUAGUACGAGCAAUAGAAACUUUGAUCCGUUGAUAUCUUCCUCUCUCAACUCCUAACACAUCUACCAGCAUAUCCAUAUCCACAACAAAGUCUUGAUCUUUGACACUGAAGGAGAAUCUAUUCGCAUCCAAGAAACUAAGAUUUGAAUAGAAAUAUGCAGUUAGUUGAGGAUAGGCCUCUGUGGAGUCAGAGCAGAAUUUCUCAAGUUGAAGAUGACCUAAUUUUUCCCUCAAGUUCACAUUUACAGCAUCCAGAAAGUCAAAAUCCACACUCCUAGGGUUUAUCACCUCACGCUUCAGCAAUUUUGAGUAUAGAUCCAUCUGUUCCUUCGAUCUAAACAAAUCUCCCAUUUUUCCUUGAUUUUCCGCUGCAAUUCCCAUUCUUGGCUGAAAUUCGCUGUAUAAUUUGUCAUCAUCAUUUCCAUCCACUGGAUUAACUCCCCAAUCACGAGGGUCACUUGGGAUAUUCGCAAGGGAUUCUUCUGCCACACCUUUACGAGCAAUUCCCAAACUUUCCAUUUUAUGCAAAAAGAUAUAUUCAUUUCCAUAUCCUUUGUCCUUAAGAAAAUCAUCCACAUAGUUCAAUGGAGUACCAGUCCCUUUUAAAGCACGAUACAUCUUAUAAAUAAAAGAGGGCCUUUAAACUCUUACAGGGUCUGCAUCCUCAAUGAUUUCUUCAUUUUGAUGAUGAUCAACAUCUUGAGGACUAGAUGGAGGAGAAUGACGCUGCUGAGAAUGUUGUGGGCUCUGCUGCUGAUUUGGAGACACUUCUUCUUCAGUGAGAUCGAAGUGCGUAGGCCCCUCACUCAUUCGCCGUGGUCCCCUGCUUGCGAUCCUUGAUGACUUUCUUGAAAACGACAUCUUUCUUAGUCUUUGAGAGAUUCCUUGCUUGACUUUCCCAAGAAAGAUGACAACUUUUUCGAAGAUUAAACAAGAGAAGAAAACAGGAAUGGAAGAUUGGUGCUUUUUAGGGUUUUGGAGUUAAGCGAGGAGAAAACGACUAUAUAUAAGACAGUCGUAAGGAGAGGAUACCAAUCGUCGUAAUGGUAAGUGAAAAGAUGCCUUUUUAAAAAAAAUAACUGCCUUUUUCAAAAAAUGGUCACAUCAAAAUAACUUCUUUUUAUAAAAGAAAUGAUGCAAUAAUUUCGUCAAUUAAAGAUAGCGAUUGAGAUAACAUACCCUUUUUCAUUUUGAACCUUUUUAGCAAACUUUUCAAAGUAAGAGAAGGUUUCAGACUUACUUGCCAAGAAAUAUACCCAAGUGAAUCGUGAGUAAUCAUCCACAAUUACCAGGCAGUAUUUCUUACCUCCAAUGCUUUGCGUUCUGGUUGGUCUAAAAAGAUCCAUAUGCAGAAGCUGCAAUAUACGGUUAGUGGAAACUUGAUUUAUUGGCUUAAAGAAAUUUCUUACCUGUUUUCCCAAUAUACAUGGUGUACAUAGAUCAGACUUUUGAUACGAUAAAUUAGGUAGACCACGAACAAGCUUCUUUGCUGAGAUUUUGGCUAUUUGCUUCAUAUUGACGUGCCCAAGCUUUCUGUGCCAUAAGUUUGCUUCGUCUUGGAUUGAGAUUAGACAUUGUGAUUCAUCUGGUUUCACAUCCAAGAGGUAGAUAUUUCCAUGUCUUCGACCCAUGAAUGACUGAGUAGAAUCUUUACUAAUUCCAGAACAUAUUCCCUCUUGAAAGUUGAUUUUGAAACCAAUAUCACAUAGCUAACUAAUACUGAGCAAAUUGUAAUUGAGCCCUUCCACUAAGGAAACAUUGCUGAUUUUGAGAUUUCCAAUCUUUACAGUUCCAAAUCCCACAAUUUUUCCUUUGCUGUUUCCUCCAAAAGAAACUUUUCCACCAAUUACUCGAACAAGCUUUAUGAAGAAAUUUGAGUCUCCUGUCAUGUGUCUUGAGCAUCCACUAUCCAGAUACCACUUUACCUUUUUUCUUGAUAGUGGCCUGCAUUUAAAAAAGAAACUCAAGCCUUCUUUGGAACCCAUAUUUUCUUGGGUCCAUUGGUGUUAGUAUGAUAUGCGGUUUUUGCCUAUACAUUUUUAACAGGUUUCCAAAUCAUAGGACAUUCUUUUUCAAAAUGAUCUGCACUAUUGCACUUUGAGCAUCUGAGAGCAUUGCGACCUACUGGUUUUACAAAGAUUCUUUUAAAAUGAUUUUUGUAAGCAUCUCUUGUGGGUCUUUGUUUGAUUCUUUCCUUCACCUUAGGAAAAUCAAUUAAAGGAAUGGUUUCAUCAGUCAUUCCCAAACCAGAUUUAUUAAAAUAAGGUCUUUGAACAGAAAGAAUUUUUUCUAGUUUCUCAGAUCCUAUAGAAAAUCUUUUGGAAAUAUUUGAGAUAUCUCUUUUCAAGAAUGCAUUUUCUUUUAACAAAUUAUCUUCACUUUCUUUAAGAGAAGAAACAUUCUUGUCUAAACUUUUCACUUUUUCUUUCAAAAUAUUUUCCUGUUGUUUUAGAGCAGAAUUUUCUUUCUUGAGUUCGGAAAUCCUUUUAAGAGAAGUCUUAAGACUGAAACACAAUUCAUCAAUAUACUUUGAAACCUUAAUAGGGAUUUUGAAGUUACUUACCUCAAAUUCGCUUUCUGAGUCUGAAUCUGUCUCGGAAUUUGAAUCUGAAUCCGAUUAUGCCAUCAGACAUAUAUUGGCAUAAUCAUCAUCACUUUCUUCACACUCUGUAUCACUCCAUGUUUUAGCUUUAAGAGUUUUUCGGUACUUUUCAGUUUUUCCUUUCUUCUUCCUCAGAAGAGGACAGUUGGGUCUGAUGUGUCCCUUUUUCUUACAUUCAAAGCAUACUACAUCUUUGUUUGAUUCAUCAUCUUCAACAGACUUAGUCUGUUGCUUUUGAAAACUUUGUUUCUUUGGAUUGAAUCUUCUUCAUUUUCUGUUCAGCUUUCUGAAUCUUCUUAUCAUGAGAGCAAGUUCCUCAUCAUCCAUAUCGUUUUCAGAAUCUGUAACAUCAGAAUCAUCAUUAGAUUUUAAUGCAAUGGAUUUCUUACCUUUAGGGUCUUCGUCUUCAUUGAUUCGUUCCACUUCAUAAGACUGAAGAGUCCCAACCAACUCAUCAACAGAUAGAGGCAUGAUUCUUUGGGUCUCUCUGAUUGAGGUCUUUAUGUGAUUCCAAUCAUUGGAAAGUCCACACAGUAGCUUGUUUACUUUCAUGGGAUCAGAAAUUGGUUGACCUUGAUUUUCAAGACCAUUCACAAUUUCAGUAAAGCGACUGAACAUAUCCGUUAUAGAUUCUCCUGGUUUCAUUUUGAAGGCUUCAUAUUGACCGAGGAGAAUGUUGAUUCUGGUCUCUUUCACUCGAUCGCUUCCUUCAUAGGUAAUAUGUAAUCUAUCCCAUACUUCUUUAGCUGUAACAUAAGAAGAUAUUCUAUUAUAUUCAGUAGGGGAUAAAACACAAUAUAAAAAAUAAAUUGCUUUUACAUCAAGAGCUUGUCUCUUGAUUUUCUCUUCCUGAGUCAUUUUGCUAGACUCAACAGCAUCUUUUCCUCUUUCUGAGACAGAUGCAGCUUUAGGAAUGAUUCCUUUUUCUGCAACGUCCCAUUCCAAAGGAUCCUUUGAUCUUAGGAAUGCUUUCAUCUUGUUUUUCCAUAUGUUGUAAUCCUUUCCAUCAAAGUAAGGUAGUCUAGUAUUGCUUUGCCCUUCUACCAACCCUGGAGCCAACAUACUAGCCAUGGAUCUUUAACUCUGAAGUAAAACACUUCAAACAAAGUGAGUACACAGGCUCUGAUACCAAUUAAGAUAGCUAGUAUAAUCACCUAGAGGGGGUGAAUAGGUGCACAAACAAAUUUUCGAGAUACGGAAGCGAUUUUAGGGAAUCGAUAGAAAAGAAAAUACGAUCAAAGUAAAGUAAAGGUUAGGGAAGAGAGAAAUGAACACAAGAUUUAUAGUGGUUUGGCUUAUUCCAAGCCUACGUCUACUCUUCCGCAUUGACAGCCCAGCGGCUGGAUUUCACUAUGAACAAAAGAGAAGUUACAGCACAGCUUUUCCUUGAUUCCACAGUGUAAAUGUUCUACCACACUUUCUCAAGGUUUCUCACGAAUAUAGACUCUUUUUUGUUUACACGAUUUUGCUCAUCAAAUGAAUUGACUAGGAACAAGGAGCUUCAGACUUUGGAAUUCUUCUAUCGUGCACACUUUCGAACAACUAGAACGUCUUCCUUAUAUACUCCUUCAUGCCAUCAUACCCGUUGGCACUUACCAAAAGAAUUCCUCCAAUCUACCCGUUGGACGGAAUCAAUUAGGAAGAUCAUUCGAGCUAUUAAAGGAACAUGUCGAUAGCCCAUUAAUCCUGUUCGCCCAUACAAUUAGGAUCUCGGUUUCCAUAAGUAGAACCUUCCAAGUAUACUUCGCCAAUCAUCGGAUCCUUAAUCUUCGAAUCAAUUAUGAUCAAAUAAAGAAUUCCGUUAUGUUAUAUCCAGCAAAGAGAUCUUCUCCAGUCGAUAAGGCCUCAUCCUUAAUGAAACAUCCAGUUCUGGAUAGCCUUUCUACAACAGAUUAGAAACUGUCAAUGAGGAUAGACUUUGAGUCUUGAGUCUGGCUGUCCGGAGGUCUUCAAACUUUAAAUAGCAGAGUUUGCAAGCCUUCAGACUAGACUGAUGGAAACGUUUUGUCAACUUCAAAACACUUCAAGAGGAAUUUCUCCAACAGUCUCAGCCCCAGCAACAAUGCGAGGUGUACAAACUUUGCGGGCCUUUUGGUGUUUGCAGCGAGGGUACUGACAAUUUCUGCAACUUCUUGCCAGGGUUUAGCAUAAGCUCUUUGAGUGAUUGGUCUGGCAGCUGCAAGAGGGAUUCGGACUUGAAUUGUGCGGCAAAUGCUUCAAAUGCGGAGAAAGACCAUUUCUUGCUAAGGUCGAAAAUGAAAUUGCCUGAUGAUCCCCAAUCUUUAGUUGUUAGGAGCAAUCAGGAAUGCUGAGCUGCUUGUUUGAGCAAUUGCUCUUGCACGGCUUAUGCUUUCAAGGAUAAUGCCUGCUCAAUUUGGAUUGGAGAUCUCUUCAAUGCACAACAACUCGCACAAGGCGAUACCACUGGAAGUAGCUCCUAUCUCGGGCUUGUUGCCUCCACUGUUGAGGAUCCAAGCAAGAAGAGCAAUGUGAGUGCCGUGGUUGCUGGGUCUGUUAGCACCACGAUAGCCAUAUUAGCCAUUGUCUUGUUCGGCAUUUGGAGAUGGAGGAGAAGGGCAAUUGUAACUACAAAGACAGUGGAGGGUUCACUGAUAGCUUUUGCAUACAGGGACUUGCCAGUAGCAACAAAGAAUUUCUCAGAGAAGUUGGGUGGCGGCAGGUUCGGUUCAGAUUUUAAAGGAACAUUCCCGAUUCAAUUCACAUAGUGGUCAAGAAGCUUGAAAGCAUAAGCCAAGGAGAGAAGAAAUUCCAAACAGAAGUAAUCACAAUCGGCACCAUCCAGCAUGUGAAUCUUGUAAGAAUUAUUGUGACCCACAUGAUAUGAUUUAUUAUAUGGUUUAAUAAUUAUUGAAAUGCUAUAAAAUAAAUAAUUAUUGGUUACGAGAAGUUGCGACUUUAAUAAACGAAAUUGUAUAUUGCUUUGAUGGAAGGCACAUUUUCAAUGAACGUAUAUAUAGAGUCCGGUCCUCUCUCCACUCACAAUAAACAACAAUAACUGAAAAGGAAUUUGGUAUUCUCUCCUCCAUCGAUUGAAUACAUUAAGGAAUAGUGGGUUAAGGGAGAGAAAUUGGAUUUCUUCAUUUGGUUCGAGUUCUUUGGAUUUACUACAAUGAUCAUCAUCAAGCAUAGCGCUAUGGAUAAAGGUAUGUCUUCAUCUAAUUGUGAAAAUCAUGAAGAUCAAAAGAUCAUUGUUUAUUUUGAAUUUCCGCAUCAAGUAUUAUAUGAAUUAUCUAACAGUUGGUAUCAGAGAGUUUGGUUUAUGAUAUCAUGAUUUUUCCGUUUAAAGAAAUAUUAUAGUUUAUGUUUGAUGAUUCGUUGAACGAUCCUGUUCGUAUUGUUUAUUGUUGUUAAAAUGUUUUCAGAUGAUUAUGGAUAAAGAAAAUCCGAAUGAUGGAAUGUUCUUCAUGGACGAAAAUGGCAAAUAAAAGUUACUGUGCGCGAGUGGAAAAGGACGAAAAUGGAAAAAUUCGGAAUUUUGAGGGCAAGUAAGAAACUCGCCGAUUUCGGGGAAAAUCCAGUCACCCACCGCUUGAUUUCGGACUCACACCGUCGCACUACCAUGAGGAACAUUAGCCAUGAGUUUUUCCAGUAUAUCGGUGUUCGCCGGAGGCUAAUCGAGUGGCGGAAGCCGUGUUGGUGGACUUUUUGUGUUCUGAAAAUUUUGGUUUGUUUUGGGGCCAAUUUUUUGUCAUUUUCUCCGAAACUUGGACCCAUGUGGUCAUGCCGGCAUGCUCUUCAAAACCCAUUAUUUAUUUGUGUCUGGGAUGGGCUACCGAAGAAGAAACGGCCGGCGAAACCGCGGCGGAACGGCGAAAAACGGCGAAGAAUCGUGUCUGUGCACGAGGAAGAGGGCGUGUGGGCUCCACGCGCGCGCUGCGGUUGUAGGCGCGUGGGACCCACGCGUCACGCGCCGUCACGUGCGCGCAAGCGCUGCGCGCGUGGGAUCCACGCGCGCGGGGCUUCCCGUGCGGUUGCAGGCGCGUGCAACGCAAGCGCCUACGCAUUGGGCACGCGCGUGCCCCGCACGCGCCCGCGGCGGAUGAAGGCGCAUGCUCGGUAUGCGCCUGACGUCCCCGCGCGCCCUUUUUACGUUUUUGCCCCUAUGUCAUUUUUAAAAUUUCCAUUUUGUCCUUCUUGCAAUUUAUUUACUGUUCUGCCCUUGCUUAAUUUAUAAUUACGAUUCUUCCAUUGCUGAUUAUUUACCAUUUUGCCCCUGGAUUAUAAUUUUAUGAUUUUGCCCUUAUGGAAUUAUGAUUUUACAAUUUUACCCUUAUGCUUUAAUUACUGUUUUGUCCUUAUGUGCAAUUUGGUAAAUAUUUGUAUUUUACAAUAUUAAAAAUCCAUAUUAUGAAUGGUUUAUUAGUCACCAAAGUGGCCGAACCUUGAAGUCUUUUGAUAUUUUGAUAUUGUAAAUUAUUUUAUUCAAUUACCCAUGAUUAAUUGAUGCUAUAUAUGAAAUUGAUAUGUUUUAUAUUAUUAUUAUUGGAGUUAUGGGUAUAUUGAAGUUCAUUUAUUAUAAGAAUUUAGUGAUUAACCCAAAGGUUAAUUAUUUUCUUAUAAUUCAUGAACAUGAUGGUUGAUAAUUAAUGUGACUUGUUAAAUUUGUUUAUAUAUCCAAAGAUAACAAAUAAAUUUUAAUAAGAUAUAUUUACAAUUAUCAAAUAAAAGUUAUUAGCAUCAUUAUGGUAUAUAUAUCCUUGUUUAUCAUAGGAUCGGCCAAAGGAGAACUAUGAUGUACAUGUGUCGUUUAGUUUGAAUUUGAUUAUGUGAUAUUCUCAAAGCAUUAAUGUAUGAGUAUUUUCUUGCACAUUUGCAGUAUCUGUACCUAUUUCACUCCAUUCGCACGCCUCAUCUGUUCCUUUAUUCAAUGGGAUAAAUUUUCCUAAUUGGAGUGAACAAGUCUAGUUUCACUUAGGUGUCCUGGAUCUUGAUUUAGCACUUCAAGCUGAGAAACCAGCUGCUAUUACUGAUGAAAGUAGCAAUGAUAAAAAGUCUUUCCAUAAAGCUUGGGAAAGAUCGAACAGACUGAACUUAAUGUUCAUGCGAAUGACAGUUGCUAACAACUUAAAGACUUCUCUUCCCAAGACUAACAAUGCUAAGGAAUUCAUGAAGUUUGUGGAAGAGCGUUCUCAAACUGCUGAUAAGUCACUUGCUGGUACAUUGAUGAGCACACUAACCACCAUGAAAUAUGAUGGUUCGCGUACCAUGCAUGAGCAUAUACUUGAGAUGACGAAUUUAGCAGCAAAGUUAAAGACUUUGGGAAUGAACGUGGAUUAGUACUUUUUAGUACAAUUUAUACUUAAUUCCUUGCCUCAUGAGCAAUAUGGGCCAUUUCAAAUGAAUUACAACACUAUAAAGGAUAAGUGGAAUGUAAAUGAAUUGGCCAGUAUGUUAGUUCAAGAGGAAACAAGGAUAAAAAAUCAAAAGGCUCAUUCUAUUCAUCUCUCAAGUCAUCAAGAAGUUCGAAAGAAUUUCAAGAGGAAAGGUGGAAGGAGCAAGAAGAAAGGACUACACGUCCUGAAUGACUCUUUAAAGGCUUCUCAAAUCCACAAGAAGGAACACAAUCUUAUUAAGUGUCAUUUUUGCAACAAAAUUGGACACUUGAAGAAAGAUUGUCUGAAAUGUAAGGCUUGGUUCGAAAAGAAAGGUAAGCCUUGUGCUUUAGUAUGUUUUGAAUCAAACUUUACUGAAGUUCCUCAUAAUACUUGGUGGAUUAAUUCUGGUGCCAGCACUCAUGUGUCAAAUACAAUGUAGGGAUUUCUUACGAUCCAAACUAUAAAGCCAAAUGAAAGUUAUGUGAUUACGGGGAACAGAAACAAAGCUCCAGUUGAAGGCAUUGGCACUUAUCGUUUGAUCUUAGAUACUAGGCAUUAUUUAGAUUUGUUUCGAACCCUUUAUGUACCUACAUUUUCUCGCAAUUUAGUUUCUUUGCCAAGACUUGAUGUGGCGGGAUUUUAUUGUAAGUUUGGAUAUGAAUGUGGCGGGAUUUUAUUGUAAGUUUGGAUAUGAAUCUUUCAGUCUAUUUAAGAGUGAUAAUCAUAUUGGAACUAGAACUUUAUGUGAUGGUCUCUACAAAUUUAGACUUGAUAAUACUUUUGUUGAGAUAUUAAUGACCUUGCAUCAUAAUGUUGGCACUAAACGAAGUUUGGUGAAUGAAAAUUCUGCUUACUUGUGGCAUAAACGUUUGGGUCAUAUAUCCAAAGAAAGGAUGCAAAGAUUAGUGAAGAAUGAAAUUCUUCCAAAUUUGGAUUUUACUGACCUUGGAGUGUGUACUGAUUGUAUUAAAGGUAAACAAACAAAACAUACUAAGAAAGGUGCCACAAGAAGCAUAGAGCUUCUUGAAAUUAUACAUACUAACAUAUGUGGUCCUUUUGAUGUUCCAUCUUUUGGUAAGGAAAGCUAUUUCAUAACCUUUAUUGAUGAUUUUUCACGUUAUGAUUACAUUUGUCUAUUGCAUGAUAAGUCUCAAUCAGUGAAUGCACUUGAAGUGUAUAUUAAAGAGGUUGAGAGGCAAUUAGAUAGAAAUGUGAAAAUAGUAAGAUCGGAUAGAGGCGGUUAAUAUUAUGGAAAGUAUGAUGAAUCGGGACAAUGUCCAGGUCCAUUUGCUAAAUUCCUUGAAAGACAUGGCAUUUUUGCUCAAUACACAAUGCCAGGUACACCACAACAAAAUUGUGUAGCAGAAAGGCGUAACAGUACUUUAAUGGAAAUGGUUAGGAGUAUGAUGAGUCAUUCAUCUUUACCCUUGUCUUUGUGGAGGUAUGCUUUAAAGACUUCUAUGUACUUAUUAAAUAGGGUUCCCAGUAAAGCAGUUCCAAAGACUCCAUUUGAACUGUGGACGGGAAGGAAACCUAAUUUACGACACCUGCAUGUUUGGGGUUGUCAAGCAGAAGUAAGAAUUUAUAAUCCACAUGAAAGAAAAUUGGAUUCAAGAACGACCAGUGGUUAUUUCAUUGGUUAUGCAGAGAAAUUCAAAGGGUAUAAAUUUUAUUAUCUAAAUCGUAGUACAAGAAUUGUUGAAUCUGGAAAUGUUAGGUUCAUUGAGAAUAGUGACAUCAAUGGGAGUGAAAGAAUGCGUGAUGCUUGCAUUCAAGAAGUAAGGGUAGAAGUUCAUAUGCCUAAAGCUUAUAAAGUUGUUGUUCCUGAUAUUGUAGUACAAUCUAACAAUAAUCAAGAACAACAAAUUAAUGAACAAACACUCGAUAAUGGAGAUGUCAAUAAUGAACCUCCAAUAGCCGAGUCACAAGAAAUAGCAUUAAGGAGAUCUCAAAGAGAAAGGAGGUCAGCUAUUUCUGAUGACUAUAUGGUUUAUCUACAAGAGUCAGAAAUUGACUUAGGAAUUGGAAAUGAUCCAGAUUCAUUUUCCCAAGCCAUGGAAUGUGAAGAUUCUAAUGAAUGGUUUAAUGCCAUGGAAGAAGAGUUAAAAUCCAUGCAUCAAAAUCAAGUUUGGGAUAUUGUUGAAUUGCCUAAAGGAUGUAAGAAGGUCGGGUGUAAAUGGGUUUUUAAGACCAAGCGCGACUCAAAAGGCAAUAUUGAACGACAUAAAGCUAGACUUGUUGCAAAGGGUUUUACUCAGAAAGAAGGCAUUGACUAUAAAGAGACAUUUUCACCAGUCUCUAAGAAGGACUCACUUAGAAUUAUUAUGGCUUUGGUAGCUCAUUAUGACUUGGAGUUACACAAAAUGGAUGUAAAAACCGUCUUUCUUAAUGGGAAUUUAGAAGAAGAGAUUUAUAUGGACCAACCCAAAGGCUUUUCAGUUAAAGGAAAGGAACACAUGGUAUGUAAAUUAAAGAAGUCAAUAUAUGGACUUAAACAAGCUUCCCAACAAUGGUAUCUUAAGUUUAAUGAUACCAUAACUUCAUUUGGAUUUAAGGAAAACACCGUUGAUCGGUGUAUAUAUAUGAAGAUUAGUGGGAGCAAGUUUAUUUUUCUAGUUCUGUAUGUUGAUGAUAAUUUUGCUUGCUGCUAAUGAUCUUGGUUUGUUACACGAAACCAAGAAAUUUCUCUCUAAAAAUUUUGAAAUGAAGGAUAUGGGAAAGGCAACAUAUGUGAUAGGAAUAGAAAUAUUCCGUGAUAGAUCACGAGGAUUAUUAGGAUUGUCUCAGAAAGCCUACAUUGAGAAAAUUCUAGAGAGAUUUAAUAUGAGUAAAUGUUCAGCAGGAAUAGUUCCAAUUCAGAAAGGUGAUAAAUUUAGCCUUAUGCAAUGUCCGAAAAGUGAAUUGGAAUGAGAACAAAUUAAUAAUAUUCCUUAUGCAUCUGUUGUGGGGAGCUUAAUGUAUGCACAAACUUGCACCAGACCAGACAUCAGUUUUGCUGUCGGAAUGCUGGGCAGGUAUCAAAGUAAUCCUGGAAUGAAUCAUUGGAAAGCUGCAAAGAAAGUUCUUAGAUACUUGCAAGGAACGGAGAAUCAUAUGCUCACUUAUAAAAGAUCUGAUCAUCUCGAGGUGAUUGGAUAUUCAUAUUCAGAUUUAGUCGAAUGUGUCGAUACAAGAAAAUCAACAUUUGGUUACUUGUUUCUUCUAGCUGGAGGGGCAAUUUCAUGGAAGAGUGCGAAGCAGUCAGUUAUUGCUACAUCCACUAUGGAAGCUGAAUUUGUGGCAUGUUUUGAGGCCACAAUUCAUGGAUUAUGGCUGCAGAAUUUUAUUUAAGGGCUUGUGAUUGUUGACAGUAUUGCCAAGCCGCUGAAAAUUUAUUGUGAUAACUCUGCAGCAGUUUUCUUCUCUAAGAAUGAUAAGUAUUCUAAUGGUGCUAAGCAUAUGGAGAUCAAAUACUUGUCUAUCAAAGAAGAAGUUCAGAAACAAAGAGUGUCAAUUGAGCACAUUAGCACUAAUCUUAUGAUAGCAAAUCCCUUAACAAAAGGACUGCCGCCCAAAACAUUUAAUGAGCAUGUUGAAAAGAUGGGCGUUAUUGGACGUCAUUAAUGUUUGUAUUAUGAUUGAAUUGAGUUUAUGUAUUUGACACUUUGAGCUCACUUACGUGUUUCUGAUAUUUCCUGUUUUUUAUUUAGUAUACAAUAUGGAAAUAGAUGAAUGUUAAACAGGAUAGUUUCUAAAGAAACAUUAUGGUUGGACUAUUACUGUACUUCUCAUUUAUGGAUCAUGUUAAGUAAAGUGCUAUAGUUGUAGUACAUAGAAGGGACUAUGUCGAUUAAUGACAUACAACCGCUAUGACUCGCAUUAGUUUUCUUUACUUAAUUCUGAUUAUUAUGUGAUUGCCAAUUUAAUGAAAUUUUAUAGCAUAAUCUUAUUGUGCACAUUAUAGUCUUUAUUAAACCAUGAAAGGAGAAUCAUAUGGGCCAAGUGGGAGAAUGUAAGAAUUAUUGUGACCCACAUGAUAUGAUUUAUUAUAUGGUUUAAUAAUUAUUGAAAUGCUAUAAAAUAAAUAAUUAUUGGUUACGAGAAGUUGCGACUUUAAUAAACGAAAGGGUAUAUUGCUUUGAUGGAAGGCACCUUUUCAAUGAACGUAUAAAUAGAGUCCGGUCCUCUCUCAACCCACAAUGAACAACAAUAAUUGAAAAGGAACUUUGUCACGCCCCGACCCUCAGGCACGCACACAUCCCUUACUUUUGGUCGAUUUAAAAAUGCGAUAUCCCAGGACUAUGUAUCGCCGACCCUUUCAUUUAUAUAUGCACAUGCGGAAGCAGUUAUAAUUCCCUAGACAAUAAAGCAAUGGGAUAGAAAAGCAGGCCAUACAUUUUUCAUACUAAAAGUUCACAACUACAACUUUUUACAUGCAAACAAGGUCUGACAAUACUGGACGGGAUCUUAGUCCUCAUCCGGGUCGUACUCGGGGUCCUCCUCCACGUACUCCUCUUCGGGUUCCUCAUCAGGGACCUCCUCAUCAGAUUCAUGCUCCUUAGGCUCCUCAUCCAGGUCCUGAAAUGGUUAUUCAAUAACCACUGAGACCACGUCUCAGCAAGUUCUACUCCCUAAGACCCGAUUAGUAAACUAAUACACCUUAGGGCUGCCUACGCACAACAUGAGUCAGAGGACGUACCUUAGCCUCAGAUUCCACCUGCAUAUUAGUACAGAUUAAAUAGGCACACAAGCAAGCACAUCACAGAUCGAAGCAUCGAUCUAAUCGACUUAGUCGAUUUCACAUCAGGAAGACCACUCACGAUCAUCUCCCUUCAAUCAUUCAAUUCAACACAUCGAACCAAGGCAAUGAAUCAUAUCAAGACAUUCUCAGAUCGAAUCAUCGAUCAAUUGACCUAGUCAAAUCAUUUCUAGGUCAUUCAUCCAACACCAAGCAAUUCCUUAGAUUUAGUGGCUUUACGGUCCCACCCGACCCUCUCGAGAACUAGUGGCUUUACGGUCCCACCCGACCCUCUCGAGAACUAGUGGCUUUACGGUCCCACCCGACCCUCUCGAGAACUAGUGGCUUUACGGUCCCACCCGACCCUCUCGAGAACUAGUGGCUUUUCGGUCCCACCCGACCCUCUCAAGAACUAGUGGCUUUACGGUCCCACCCGACCCUCUCGAGAACUAGUGGCUUUUCGGUCCCACCCGACCCUCUCAAGAUGUCAUACUAUGUCACCGAGCCACGUGCAUUCUCCAGGAAGACAUACCGAGUCUCCGAGCCACGUGCAUUCUCUAAGGCUAUCUUUUCGCCAAGAUGACAUAUCAAAUCACCGAGCCACGUGUCCUUCCCAAGUGAUAUUCCAAUUCACUGGGCCACGUGCAUCCUCAAGGUGAUUUACCAACUCACUUUCGAUACUAACAACCGAUAUCCGACCAAUUCUCAAUCACAAGGCCAAAAUUGCAUUAUUGAAUAACAUACUUAAAAAUGCACCAUUAAAUCAAUUCGACACGAAUUAAAGCUCAAAUAAGUAAACGGACUGCUCCACGACAAUCAGCACGAAAUUCCGGUCACUGGCCAUCCCAGUUGAAUUUCCGGAAAAUAAAUAAUUAAACAAUUAAUUUCGAAAAUUAAAUAAAUAAAUACAAUAAAUUCAAUUUAGCACAAUAUAAAGCUCAAUUAAAUAAACGGACUGCGCCACGAUCAUCAGCAUAAAAUCCUGGUCACUGGCCAUCCCAGUUGAAUUUCCGGGAAAUAAAUAAUUAAAUAAUUAAUUUCGAAAAUUAAUAUUUAAUUCCUAAAAAUACGACAUAAGCCCAAAUCGCUUAAUUAACACCCGAUAAGGGACGGGAAAAAUCCCAAGAAGCAUCCAAUAAAUACUACAAGCAAUUCUCUAUCUAAUUACACUAAUCACACAACUAAUAUGCAAACCAAUUAACUAAUAAUCACUAAUCAAUUCUAAUCUAACAACCUAAUUACACUUAAUUAACACUAAUCAACCUUUAAGUAUAAUUAGCGCACUAAGAAGGCAUUAGUGAGUAAAACUCACUCAAAACGACGGGCUCGACGCGAGGAUCGACUUUCCUCAAAGCGGGCCGAGCAUCCGGGCUCGGGAAGGCGGCCAAAACGGGCCAAACAGUUGCUGCAAACCCAUUUCUGCAGUCCUCUGAUCGCUGCUGGUUGGAGGCGAAGGUGGGCGGAUCCGAGGCUGGUUGAGCUCGGGAAUGGGCGGAGGAGCUGAACAAGACCAAGGCGAGUCUUCACGGUGGCCGGAGGUGGUCGGAGGAAGCUCCGGCGGGUCUUGCACGAGCUGGACAGAGGCGGAACAGGGGUUGGACAGCAGCUCUGGAACAGCGAGCUGGGCGAGAGGGAGACCGAGCUGAGCGAUGCAGCGGCGGAGCGCACGGCGUCGCGCGGGCGGCGGUGCGGCAGCUCCGGUCCAGCAACGCCAGCUGCUGCCUCAACUCCGGUGUCCUCCAAGAUCUGGAACCCCGAGCAGCAAACGGAGAGGAAGACAGAGGGUGGACGGCGUUCAAGCGGGCGGGCAGGAGACGGACGGCAGCAGCGUUCCGGCACGACGGCGAAGGCAGCUCUGGCGUGACGGUGAUGGCGGCUCCUGCUUCGAACAACAUAGCUACUGUCCCUGCUUCUGCUUCGUUCGAACCAGAGGAGGGAGAGGGGGCGGAGAUGUGCAGACAGCAGCACGGCAGCGGGCUUGGGUGCACGGGAGCAGCUCCGGUGGCUUGCGGGCGUGCGACGGCGGCGGCGAGAGGCGGCGACGGGCGAAGCUGCUGUUGCUGCUUCGGCUGCUCUGGUCUUCGCACAGCCAUGGCACGAGCAGCAAGAAGGGGGAGAGAGGGUGUCGACGGAAGAGAGAAGAGAAGAAGAGAAAACCAAAUUUUCUUUCUCUUUCUCUCACUCUCUCUCUCUCUUAGGUCAGCCAUACGUGGGCCACCAUGGCUGUCAUCCACCCACAUUUCUAGCCCAAAACUACCCCUUCUAGAAGCAUUUAGGUAGGCCAAAGUUUGGGGUAGAGGUGGCAUACGAAUUUUGCCAAGUUCUCUUCCCAAUUGGACCUUAAUCCCUCUUGAUUCAAUUUAAAUUGACUCCUAUAAUUUCAUUUAACACCUCGUCAUUCCAAUUGGUAUUUUUCCUUACCAAUAUAGCCCACUUGCAUCCCAAUUCCACAAUCCUUAGCUUCAACUGAACCAAAGCGGCCCUAUUUAUCCAGUCGAAAUUAGGACCCGAAAAUCUGGAUGUCACAAACUUGGUAUUCUCUCUUCUAUCGAUUGAAUACAUUAAGGAAUAGUGGGUUAAGGGAGAGAAAUUGGAUUUCUUCAUUUGGUUCGAGUUCUUUGGAUUUGCUACAACAAUCAUCAUCAAGCAUAGCGUUAUGGAUAAAGGUAUGUCUUCAUCUAAUUGUGAAAAUCAUGAAGAUCAAAAGAUCACUGUUUAUUUUGAAUUUCCGCAUCAAGUAUUAUAUGAAUUGUCUAACAAAUCUUGUCAGGCUUCGUGGGUUCUGCUCUGAAGGUUACACAAGGCUGUUGGUCUACGAUUUCAUGCCAAAUGGUUCUUUAGACUAUCAUGUCUUUCAUAGAAAGGACUUGAAGACCUUGGAUUGGAAAACGAGGUACCAAAUUGCUUUGGGAACGGCUCGAGGUCUGGCUUAUCUCCAUGAAAAGUGCAGAGACUGCAUCAUACAUUGUGACAUCAAGCCAGAGAACAUCCUUCUAGAUGCUGAUGUAUGUCCAAAAGUGGCAGAUUUUGGCAUGGCAAAGCUUGUUGGCCGAGAUUUCAGCAGGGUGUUGACAACCAUGAGAGGCACAAGAGGGCAUCUUGCGCCGGAGUGGAUCUCUGGAGUGGCCAUAACAGUAAAAUCUGAUGUUUAUAGCUAUGGGAUGAUGCUUUUUGAGUUUGUGUUGGGAAGGAGGAAAUUAGAGCUAUCGGAAAAUGGGGCCAUCAAGUUCUUCCCAACAUGGGCUGCUAGUAAAUUAGCCGAAGGAGGUGACCUGCUUAAUCUUUUGGACCCAAACUUGACGGCAAAUGCCAAUACUGAAGAGCUAACUAGGAUUAGCAGAGUUGCUUGUCGGUGUGUCCAAGAUGGGGAAACUCACAGGCCAUCGAUGGGGCAGGUUGUUCAAAUACUCGAGGGGGUGUUGGAUGUGAUCCUGCCCAGGAUACCGAGUCCUUCAACUGUUUCUUAGUAAUCAGGAGCAUGUAGUUUUUUUCACUGAGUCGUCAUCGUCGAACCAGAGUUCCCAGAUGAGGAGUAACAACCUAAAAUGCUUCCUUGCAGAAGCAAAAUAGUUCAUCUUCAACAAAGUCCAAGUCUUGAGGAUGAUAAGAUAAGAGCUUAGUACAAGAAGUGCUUCCGUUAGUGCAUAUACUCUUCUACUUUUUCUGUAGUCAACAAAGAAUCUCAGCAUUUGGGGAUUGGCUUUCUUGGGGCUUUUUUCCCUAGCUAUUUUUGUUACGUAUAACUACAAGCGAGCUUGGAUGAUCGGUUGUAAAGAUCCUUCGCUCUGUAUAAUGAUCUGUUCUCUGCUUUUUGAGAUCCAAGGUGAUAUUGGUAAUUAGCAUCGAAAAAUUUCUGAUAAUUUUGGCACUGGAAUUGGGAUCUAACGUAUUGGUAUCACCUAGCUUGGAUCCCAGCUAGUGUCUCACAUGGUUCUAAAAUCUGCCCCCAUCGCAUGCAAAGCAAGCUGUAAGGUUUGGCAUUUCUAAUUUAUAACUCCUUUUGCUACUUGCUUGGUUUAUACAAUGAGUCAUGGUAUGAAAAUCACCCUUGAAACUACGGCUUGCUAGGACCGGAAUAUUAGAUCAUGAUAAUUUCCAACUGAUCUAUGUAUUACUAGCAGAUCCUAUUGUUGAAGCUGUAGGAUGUUAAUGCCCGCUCCAUUUUUCACAUAGCAUUUAUAUCUCUUCUAAGGUUGAGUUUUUUUAAUCACCUCAUUGCUUUAUGUUUCGAAUAUGAGUACUCGAACCUUUUAGCAAAACUGAUUUAUAACGUGUGGAUGAGACUUUUGUUGGGUGCUCUUACUCAAUUUAUAAGUUCUGUAAAACCAAAUUCAGUAUCUCAAUGUUAUUUGUUAAAAAUCUCUAUUGUUUGUUCUGGUGGGAAAUUGGUUGAGUUUCUCGUUUCAAUCGGGUUGAUCCAAACAGUAUUUUCCAUUGCAAGUGGGGAUUAAAUGCAAGUCCAAGUCCACUUUAAUUUAUCGUUGAAGAAGCCUGUUUUGGAAGGCCUAGCUUUUAUUUUUCAGUUCAUAAUCUAUUCAGAUCAAGGCUAAUCUUGUUCGGCCUUCACAAUACCAUAGUCCCCUCACUUUUGCCAAGCUUCCCCUCAUUUGUUUUUCCUUUUUGCCAUUACACCUUUUUCUUUUCCUUUCUCCUAUACACAAUUCUUUAAAUACUUUCAAUAUGAUGUGUUGUUUUUUUUUUUGGUAAGGGUCGAUAUGAUGUGUUGUUUCACUUUUCUUGUGGUAAUUAUUUUACUAUUAUCGUUGAUCCUUCUCUAGUGAGGAAAAAAAUACCAAAAAAGUCAUAAAUAUAUUACAUUAGUACCAAUUUAAUGUUAAAAUUUUUCACAUUAGUACUAAUUCGGUCCAUCUGGCCAAUUUUGGCUGGCCAGUGUUGAUGUGCACGUCAGCCAAAAUUGGGCUGAUGGACUGAAUUGGUACCAAUAUAAAAAAAUUUAGGAUUGAAUUGGUCUAAUUAAAAGAUUUAGAACUGAAUUGAUAUCAAUGCAAUAGGUUUAUGACUUUUUUUUAUACUUUUCCCUUCCAGAUGCUAGAGGUGCUAUUAUAAUAUCUUAACUUCCUUUAGCAAUAAAAAGACGUGUAAUCUGCUUAAAUCUUUAUUUAGUUGUGCUUCUACAAAAAUCAACCCUCUUUAUGAUCAUUUAUUUUAAAGUUAUAUCUCAAAUUUGAAUUCGUGAAAGAAAUCUAACUAGAGAUGAAUUGUAAGAAACUAGGUCAAUUAAGGAAAAUCCUAAAGGCGAAUAUUUCUGGACGUCGGUAAUGGAAAUCUAGAUUUCAUAUUUGGCGUCAGAGUCCAAAGUGCAAAUUUGGACAUUAAGUUGCUGAUUCGUUAACUCCAACAAAAGGCCAGAACUUGUAGAUUAUGAAAAUCAAUUUCCGCAUGGGAGUUGGUCAACACAACAACCGAACAAGAAAGAUCGGAGUUGGACUGGGUUUCUUCUUCAAUCGGUCAACUUGGCUAUUAUAUACGGAAUAACACCUUGAAAAAUCCAAAAUUGACAUAUUUAUAACAAAUUUACCAAAAUCUAAAUUUAUCCAAAUUUGUACACCUACGAUAAAUUCACCUUAAAUAAUUUUUUUAACUAUAAAAAAUCUCAAACUAGCACAUUUGUCACAAAUAGAGAGUAAAAUCCAAAAUUGAUACAACAUUAAUUGUCAAAUGUCAUUCAAUUCAACAAUUUGAUAAUAAAAUUUGAAGGAAAUUAAUGGACGGUAAAUUUGUUACAAGUAUAUCAAAGUUUUAGAUAAAUUUUAUUACCGGUUCAUGAUUUAUUAUGAAAUUACCAUAAAUAUAAAUAUACAAUUGUGGAUUGCUCAGUUGGUUAUGAAGAAAUAUUAAAGUGUAGUUCUUAGUGAAUGUCAAGGGAAGUUCUAUAUUUGUUAGUGACGGCCAAUUGGCACUGCAGGUUUGGUAGUGGGUUCUUCAUGGAAUAACAUUAAUAGCUUAUGUGUUGGACUCAAUUAAAUCUUGUGAGGAUUUAUUUAAUUCAUUUUUGAGAUUGAGAUAUUAUUUCGUGAAGAAUUGUAAGUUUAAAUACUACGUGAAUUAUUGAGUAUAAUUGGAUCUUGGAAAACAUAAGAAUGUUUGAGUAAUUUGAGUUUGGUUGUACUUUUCAUUGGAUUGCUCGAUCUAGAGUGAAUUCUUUGCUGCUCUCUCCAUUGACAUAUGUCACAUCAAUAGAAUCAUUUAAAUUUGGUGUCCAAUUUAUUUUCUUAUUUUGUCUAUUUCAUUGUUCGAUCAAUUAGAUUCCACAAUAAUUUAAAAGAUCAAGGCAUUGAUAAACGGUCUCUCUACUUUUGCUCAAUAAUCAAAGUCAUUCUUUUAAUAUCUUUUAAGAAAAAAAAUCACAAAAACUCCAUAUUUUGUCGAUUGUGAUAUGUUUACUCUAAACUAUUUUUGGUGACACCAAAAACUCUAAAUUUAUACUUGUAUGACACAUUUAUCCUAAUUUUUUUUCUAUAACACCAAAUUUUUUGGGGUUAAUAUGUCACAUCAUACAAAUUUGAAGUUUUAGGUGGCACAUUAUAUAAGUUUAGAGUAAAUAUGCAAUAUAAGUAUGAAUUUGAAGUUUUUGAUGUCAUAAAAUAAGUUUGGGAUAUAUAUAUAAUUUAGAGUUUUCGGUGAUUUUACAUUUCUUUGGAUUUGAAACCGUUCUUGCACUUAAGUGCCAUUGGUCGUCCCUGUGUUGGAACACUAUUAGCUAUCUUUUGACGUCAAAUUUUAUUUUAUUUGUUGAGGAUUUUUCUUUCUUUCUCCAAAUGUAGGCUGUCUCUCUCCUUUUUAGGUUAUUCAUUUUACGAAAACUAAAACCCACAAAAUAUAUUGCCUACACUAAUGCAAAAACACGAUUAUUUGUAUAGACUCAAGACAAGCAAUUGAGUAGCUAUGGGCCGUGAGCUCUGUGGCUCAUGACUUGAGCAAAUAUGACUGCUACAAGAUCAAAGCUCAUGCGGCAAUGCCAUGAGCUCAAAGAUUAAGUAGCCAUGGCUUAAGCUUUGUGACUCAAAUAGACAUCAUGGCCAUGGCCAUCUGCGAGCUUGAGCUUGAAUAGCCAUGGCCAAUGCUAACUUAGAGUUGGAGCUCAUGGUAAUAGUGGGGUCAUAAUGGAGCUCUCUCGUAAUUGUGCCCAUUUUUUUUAAUGUUUAUGUUGCCUAAUUUAGCACCUGUUUUUCCUAAAAUAAUUAUAUGAGCGGAGUACCACACAAUAGGUAUGCUGGCAUCUUGUUCAUAAAAAUUGAAUGGCAAAGUAUAACGGAAUGACUAGUGGUGAUACUUCAAGCCACAAAAAAAUCUUAAGCUUUAUCAACUGUGACACAUUUAUUUCAAUUUUUUUUUUUGUAACAUCAAAAAUCCCAAACUCGUACACGUGUAGUAAUACAUUUACCCAAAACUUUUUUUUUCGACACCAAAAAACCCAAACUUAUACUUUUGUAACAUCAAAACCCUAAACUUUUGUUUUGUAACACCAAAAACCCGAGAUUAAUAGUCAAGUCACACAUCUACCCCAAAAAUUUGGUGUCAUAGAAAAAAGUUUGAGGUAUUUGGUGUCACAAAAAGAAAAGUUUGAGGUUUUUUAUGUCACAAAAUAAAAGUAUGGAGUAAAUGUGUGACACUGCAAUAUUUUGAGAUAAAUGAGUCACAUAGGUAAAAGUUUGAAAUUUUUAAUAUUACAAAAAAAAAUAGUUUGGGGUAAAUAUUUCACAAUGGUCAUAAUUUAAGGUUUUUGGUGGCUUUUACCAUACUUUUAAAUAGUGGAGAGAUGCUUUAAAAAAAGUAGAGGGGAUUUUGAUUUUCAGGCUAAAAUAUAAGGGCCACCGGUAAAUCGAAUCCAUAAAGAAAGUGGCAUAUGUAUAGGAAUUGAUAAAAUAGUAAAAGAUUAUAAUGGACACAUCGCCAAGUACCAUCGCUCCAAGUCCAACCAGAGAGGCCUCUUCAUGCCAACACGUAUGGCCAUGACAAAGUCUAUAAGGUUUUUCUAGUAAAGGCACACAACCAUGAUGUUACAUAUAUAUAAAUUGGGGAAAAAAAAUCAAUGUGUCGCUCUAGAGUUUUCCCUCGACAAACAGGUCAGCUCAGCAUGUGUGGAACAAGCACAUUUUGUUGAAGAUAUUGGCCUCAAGUCUACCUUAGACAAUAGUAGGGACCAUAAGAAUAUUGGACAAUGCUACAUGAAAAUCAAACCUUGUCGGUCCAGCUUUUCAAAUAUAUGAAUGACUUUGACACUUGGAUUUGUUCCUUUGUUGUUGACUGAUGCUGGUAAAACUAUGUUUAAAGUCCUGCUUGAUCACUCAAAUGUUUGAUGUUGAGUUUGAGUGUUCUCAUUGCAUGUUAUUCCAAUUUAUGACGAGGACAUGUCCAAGUUGCACCACUAGCGUCUUCUUCACUCUGGGAUAUGCUCAUCCUUGUCCACUGGUAUGAUGCUUGCUUAAAUGCUUCUAUCUAGGUACUCCAUGACAAUGCGCUAGUCUCAGUUGAAGUUUCCCCACGGCACUUUGCGCGUUUCUUGACCCAUUCUUCUUUGAGAUCUCUUUCCUCACCCUUGCUCCGAGCACAAACGAGUAUAUAUACUUUUCCCUAUGAAUCUUGUUUCUACACAUGUCCGCUCGAAUCCUAUAUGGUACAGCCAUGGAUAGCAAAAACAGUAGUCCAUGGUCGUUCAUACUCCCAAUUUUCUUGCUUUGCUCAUCUCUGUACACCUACCUCUGUCUUGGCACAGACAAGCUCGAUGCGAAUCGAUCUAUAUCUGGUAAUCAAACCUUAACCUCCUCAGGUGGCCACUUUACACUUGGCUUCUUCUCGCCGGGUAACUCCACGUACUCCUACAUAGGCAUCUGGUACAACAAAAUCAGCGUGCAAACCGUCGUCUGGGUCGCCAACCGAGACAACCCUAUCACUGACAGGCAAUCCACUGAGCUGAAGGUCUCGGGUGGCAAUCUUGUGAUUCUUAACAACUCCGAAGUCCCCGUUUGGUCCACGAAUCUGACUGCUUCUUCAUCUGGAUCGAGCUCCAUGGUGGCGGUUCUUGAGGACGACGGCAACUUCGCUCUCAAAGCGGCUCCGACUUCUUCUGUGACUCUGUGGCAGAGCUUCGAUUACCCAACGCACAUGUGGCUUCCCGGUGCCAAAUUAGGGAUCGACAAGCGCAAAAAUAGGAGUCAGCUCUUGACAUCAUGGAAGAACGCUGAGGACCCUUCGACAGGUUUGUUCUCUCUCGGUCUCCAGCCAUCCAGUGAGUACUACGUAAGGUGGAAUAAGUCUGAGCAUUACUGGGAGCAGUGGGGCGUGGGACAAUCAGACGAAAAGUUCUCUUGGGUCCCUGAAAUGAGAUUGAACUAUAUUUAUGAUUUCAAGGUAUGUGGGACAAUGAGAACGAGAGCUACUUCACCUAUUCAAUCAAAGGCUCCUUCAACACCAUAUCAAGGUGUGUCGAUGGACCUUUCUGGGCAGGUCAAGAUGGGUCCUGGUUGCCUUCCAAGGUGUGGACCUUGUUCUGGUCUCAGCCCCCGCAACAAUGCAUGGUGUAUAGACUUUGUGGGCCUUUCAGUGUUUGCAGCGAGCAGAGUGAAGAUUCGUGCAGCUGC
This 47956-nucleotide long non-coding RNA is filed under the name Eucalyptus grandis. RNAcentral's name for it is "long non-coding RNA (EGRA_LNC000245)". Lineage: Eukaryota; Viridiplantae; Streptophyta; Magnoliopsida; Myrtales; Myrtaceae. The record is from RNAcentral.